UUCAGGCCUUUGGAAUUGGCAGGUAUCUAUUUUCUAUAAUCUUCUUUUAUUUUCAUUGUCAAAAAUUGGUUUCCGUAUAAAAUGUAUGGAUGGUUUUUGAUGUAUUAGCAAAAGACGUUAUUCUAUAAUUAUUUAUUUGCUUAAUCCACAACAAUUUCCAUAAUUUUCUUAAAAUAAGCAGUCUCUAAUAAUAAUCUCACUACGUAAAACCCAUCGAUUUAGAUGCUUCAAAAACUAUCAAAAUAAUUGUAGUGUAUACUCCCAUUAAUUGACUUUGUUUAAAUCCUUACACGUUUUUUUGAUCAGAGGUUUGGAGAUGGACCUGGUGAUGAACUUGCAUUUGAAUCUAAUGGAGACUAUACAAGAAAAAUCGGUUAUCUUAAUUUCUCUCAAUAUGAAAAUGGCACAAAAAAUGGGAAUUAUUCAGACAACCUUCUCAACAAUGUGUGGUAUCAACCGGAAGAGAUAUUUCCAUUGAUGGGGCACCUGAGAUUAGACAGCAUGCCUUUUGGGUUCCUGUUGACAAGCUGUACUUUUCACUUGCAGACAAACUUGAGGUUAAUUUUUUACUAUCUUGGCAUAAUCUCUUUGAUCACCAAAGUUUAUCUACCACCAUGAAACUUUACUGAAAAAACUUACACUAACCUCAAGUAUGCUUGGCCCAAAAGAUCGACACAUUUGUUUACUUAAAUUUAGUUUUUUUAAUUAUUGCUUUUCUGUACAGGAUAUUGUCCUCGAAAGGUGUGUCAAUUCCACUAUGUGUUUACCUCGACCUCCAAAGGUAAUUAGAGUGGAAAGAGGGGUGAGUGCUAAUGUAUUUGUAGACAAUGCUGCCUAUCGAGAUUUUUUGAAUACUAAGUUCAAUGCAACUCCAGUCGACAUGGAAAGUGCUGGAGUAGCCCUUGUAUGUCUCCAACAAAGGACGCGUUUUAUAGCAAUUAGGGCACUAUCUGAUUUAGCUGGUGGCGGUUCUUCUCUCUCCAAUGAAGCCGCUAUCUUCUCUUCACUAGCCGCUCAAAAUGCAGUUAAUGUUGUUCUUAAGUUCGUUACUUUGUUGUCUUUGUAACCUCAAAUUAUUUAACUAGACGCAAUCCAAUAAGGUUAUUAGUCAAUGUUGAACGUAUUGAAUUUCAUUUUAUGUUGUUAUUCUUAUAAUGUUGUUUAUUUAAUUGAACAAAAACCGUAUCCCAUAUUUAUGUAUUUAUUAGGUUUUCAACCCCAUAUGAAAUGCCGUUAAUAGUAUUAUACAAAUAUCUGCAUUGAUAUUCUAUUAAAAAGAAUAAUGACGUGAACAAAUAGAAAUCUCCUCCCAAAUGGAUCUAUCAAGGAAUACAUGGCAAGAAAUAUUCAGCACUCUCUAGAAUUCACCAAAGAGAGAUGAAUUUCGAGAGAAUGACAGAUAUAUCUCAAACAAAAAUAGGUUUAUAUUCAAAUACUUCUGUUUCUACCUUCAACGAUUUUCAAGAUUAUAUUUAAAUGAAAGAAACGUGUAUAUUAAGCUACAAAUUCGUGCAUUCAGAUUCCAAAGAAAUUGAAGAAUCAUAGGAACUAUCUUGAGCCAGAUAAGAAUUGACUUUUAGCAUCCCCACGAAUUGACUUUUCAACAUGACCACAUUAAUUGGAAAGUCAAAAUGGAGAUCCAUAAAUUGUGUAGGAAAGUCAAAAUGGAGAUCCAUAAAUUGUGUAGGAAUUUUGAAUUGAUAACUCAAUGAUAUAUUAUUUUAUAUCUAAUAAGUCUCAAAAUCGUUCCAUAAUUUAGUUGAACUGACACCAAAAUUCUAAACCUUAAAAAUCUAAAGCACCAAAUUUGACUCCCUCUAUUUUUUUUAUUUUUUAUUUUUUUUCUCUUUCAAAGUUUGCAAUCGAUAGUAUUCUUGCGACAUGGGACAUCCAAAGUCCUAAGAUUAUAUUCCAUCAACGAGCUAACAAUUGAAAUCCUAAUUAAAAGAUCAGACAUGUAGCACCCAAGUUUUCAUAAACUUUGAGGUGUCACAAAAAACUCAUUUUGUUUGUUUUAAAUACGGAAAGAUAAAAAUGGACUCUAAAAAUAAACUGCUGAAAUAUCCAUAAAUUUAAACUAAACAUGAAAAAUCGUAUCUUAAAAAAAAAUAUAAGCAUGGUCAACUAACUAAUUAAAUAACAUGUCUUUGAAUAAAUUAAACUAACUAAUAAAUUUAAAGACAAAACCAAAAAAAAUAUAUAUUUUUUCCUCUCGAAUUCUCUUGAUAGUCUGAAUUACCAUCCCAUCAUAGUUCUAAUUGAUCCAACUAACAUGAAAAAUUAUUGUAAGAUUGAGUAUUUAAAAAUACCUAAUAAGAUACGUGUACACGAUUAUAUUUAACAAAUAAAUAAAUACUUCAUACUACUUUUCUCUUAUGGAGUAUGUCGAUAACCAAACGACACACCCAUUUUAGGUCCGCUUAAAUUCCUGAAAAUUUUCAUAUCUCUUACUAUAGAAUUCGAAGAUCCACUGGCAAUUUAUGCAUAUUUAAUUGAAUACAUAAAAGUAUAAGGAAACGAACCACUUGCACAUAAGUAUGUUACCUCAUUAUUGAAAUAUUGGAAAGAAUAAAAUCUUACAGAUUUUUAUUCCUCCCUAUUUUUCUAUUCUUUUUCAUCUCCUUCUCUCUCGCCCUCUCUCUUUACCAUGGCUCCCUCUUUAUUAUUAUUAUUAUUAAUUUAUUAAUUUAUUUUUUUGGUGAUGAAAUAAUGGGAAUUUUUGCACUGUUUAUAGUUAAAAUUCUCAAUUGAGUUUGUAUGCAGCUAGAAUUGGAAAAUUGUGUAAUACAAGGAAUUUGACGUCGGGUAGGAUAGCGAUUAUCCUAUAGGCUAGUUGCAACAAACGAUUCGCAAGAAAGAAGAAGAAAGAAACGCAAAAAAUAGAGAAAAUUCUCUGAAAACUUCACUCAAUAUUAUUAAUAAUCAAGAAUGACGAAAAUUAACCCACAAACCGGGUUAAAUAGCUGCAAAAAUACGAAAUUAUCAAAAAAUUACCAAAAAUAGCAAAAUCCUAAUGAUCACACCAAAAUAAAAUAUGAAAUAAAAUAAGUUGCCAAAAAUUUGAUUCAAUCUGGAUUCUCUAACGUCUAGAAAAAGGGAAACAAAAUAUUGUCAUAAAUAGUAAAAAAAAAAACUAAAAAUUGAAUUUCGAAAAGGAAAACAGCUGAUUUUUGGGCUCGAAAUUGACGCCCACCGAGCAUAGCUUGGUGACCACGAUGUGUGGGCCAAAGAGAGCUUUUAGGAUUGGAGUCAUAAUAGCGAUUCUGAUAACCGUAAUCAAAAUUAUGACAAAAUUACCAAAGACGCGUAAGAAUUACCCCAAUUAAGGAAAGAUUGCAUUUAUUUUUCAUCUUUGCACCUAUCCGCCAUCUCAAGGUAUUUCAUCGCUAUCAACGAGCUAUCUGACAGAUCAGCGUCACUCGACUCGAAUCCUCCUGUAUCAGAAUCUGAAUAAGAAUUGAUUUCAAAUAAUACAAUUAUGAUUACUAUUCAACUUUAUCGAAACCAAUUUAAGAUUAGAAUUAAAUUUAUCCAAAUCCCAAACGAUUAUCAUUAUCCAAAAUCAACAUUUAUCAUCUCAUAGGGCACUACCUUAAAAUUAAAAUCAUAAACCAAGUUUUAUAUAUUACCAAUUAAAGACUUCCAUAUCUUAUACCUAACUAAUCCAAAUAAAACUUUUCUCGAGUUCAUAAUACAUUAUUUAAAACAAACUAUAAAAUGAGCCCAAUACUAAAUCUCGUCCUAUCAAAAUCUAAUUACUUAGAUCAAAUAAAAUUAAAAUUAAUACUAAUUCAUUUACUUUCAAAAUAUAAAAAUAUAGCAUAUAGAAUAAGUAAACUUUAUUCUAUAAAAUUUCCGAGGAGUUACAACAGCCCCUACCAUGUGAUUGUAAUAACUAAAGAGCAUUUUAGAACAACAUGAAUAAAGAAAAAUAAAGCUAGUGAGCCAUGCCUUAAUGUUCACUUGUACUCCCUACUUAAACAUGAAUUGCUCCAAUCUGCUAAUCAAUGUUGCAUUUUUCUUAUUACAAGUGUACGAUAUUAAACAGAUAAUAUAGCGGAUAUUAGAGUCCACAUAAUCAUUCCCACAAAAGGCUACUAAUUGUUCCAGUUUACUAUUUUUAAUUUUGUUUGAUAAAAAACAGAGUUUAGUUUGAUUGUUGAUCUAAAUUAUACUAACUAACUUAAUGUAUGUUAAUGUACACAAAAAUCAAAUUAGGUUUUAGAAUGUGAAGGAGAUAUUAAGGUACCGAAUUUCAUUUAUCGAUCACCUUUAAUUCUCUAAUCAAGAAUCUUAACUAAAUGUCGUGUUUGGUCUCAUUCUUCUAACAUAUUUGAUUUACCCCUCUUGCGUUCAAAUUGAUUUUAUUUAAUUAAGUCAAUUCCAUAUCUCUAUCGAGUCAUGAUAUACUUUAGUUAAACGCAUUAAACUUCUAAAAAUUUAUAUAAAGACCACAUUAACUGUAAAAUGUAUCCCUAUGCUUUUAUACUAAUUUCCAGGUUUUGCUACACGGUCUAAACCUCUAACUCACCUCUUGGCUUGCUAUAAAUUUACAAGAUCGUAGAACUAUUGACUAAGUAAUUUAAAGCAUUCAACAAUAUCAAUAAAAUCAACACGUAAAAUUAAGAGCUAUAAUGUUGAAAAUUGAAUUAACAAUAUUUCAAUAAACUACAUCUUUCGCCCUAAUAGAAAGUUUAGCUACGCAUAUUGAAUGAAGAAAGACAGAAUUAUUAUUGAAUAAAUCACUUGAUUUUGAAUGACAAUUUAGAAAAGUGAAUGAAUCUUGCACCAUGAUCCUCUUCAAUCAAUGCUUGAAACCCUAGUUUUGAUAAUUUGAUUUAUUACUUUUCUUCUAUUAUUUCUUUCUAAUUCUCAAGUUGUGGAAUACUUUUUUCCUCUCACUCAAGUCUUUAUAUAGUAUUAUAAUUUUUAGAAGAGUUCCCAUCCAAAACAAGCUCAAAAAGACGAAAAGAACAAAAAAAUACAAAUAUUUGCAAUUUGGCCCUAUAAUUUUUCAAAGCUUCCACUUUGGUCCCUUAACUUUUCAAUUAUCAAUUUUUCAUCCUUAAUCUUUUGAAUUCAUUCAAUUUCCCAAAAAUUCUUUCAAUUGACCGAUUUCAAUCUCAAAUGAUCUUCAAGUGUUCAAAUUAUUCUCCAAUCAAGCUCAAAUCACCACUUUUUGCAUCAAUUGAACUCAAUCUUGACUUUUUCCUACAAAUCAUGCAAUUUCAAAUAAUUAGGUAGGAAUCCGCUCAAAUUAAUCAUAAUUUAUCAAGACUAAGAGCAAAAUAAGUAUAUAAAAUACACUUAUCAAAACUACCUAAACUUAAACUUCUAUUUGUCCCAAGAAGAUUAUCAACCCAAUACACAUGCACGCAAUAAUUAACAAGUUAAAUGGUCCAUCAUAUUUGCUUUACGAUUCAAAAAUGCUCAAGUAAUUCACAAUAAGCUUUUAAGGCAUGCUACCAAAACAUAAUUUAACUUGUCCAAUGCUCGACCAAUAUGGCUAUGUGCAUAAUCCUUUCAAUCACAUACUUUUUCAAGUUGGACUCAUCCCAACUCUCAACGGUCAAUUAUUUAUCCUUUCUUAUUUCGUGAGGAUUCUCCUAUUAUAAAAGUGAAGAAAAGAAAACACAGAGAGAAGUCAAUAGACUUGUGUGUGUUUUAUUAAAAAUUAAAGCCCUGUAUUUAUGGGACAGAAUCAGAGAUACAAUAGUAAUUAUUUCUAGGAGUGUACUUGUCAUUCACCUCUAAACCCUAAUAAACUUUCCUUUUACGACACUCCUCCUUGAAUGACAAAUUAUAAAAUAUCUGCCUCAUUAUAAGAUUGUUUGAUAAAAAUCCAAUAGGAAAAAAAAUCAAAACGAAGGAAAAAGAGUACAGUUAUUUUGGAGUACUUAAAAUUAAAGCUGCCUCCUCUGAGUUGUGCAAUAUAAGUUGUAUUGUCUUCAUACAAAAUUGUUGGACUAUCCUUUGUUGAAGUUAAUCCGCAUGGUGCUUGGAUAUAAUGAGUCAUGUUUCUCAACCACACAGCUUCUCGCCCUGCUUCAUGAAUUAUAAUAAUUGUUUCACAGAUCUCUAUGAUAUAGCUGUUCCUCCACGUGUAAAUAUAUAACAUGUUUGUGAUUUAACUUUAUGUGGGUCAGAUAGAUAACUUGCAUCUACAUAUCCCACUAAAGCAGAUGUCGACUUUUGAGAAUAAAAUAAUCACAGAUCAAUGGUACCCUUUAAAUAACAAAAAAUAUGUUUAACACCAUUCCAAUGUCUUUGAGUUGGUGUAGAGCUAUAUCUUGCAAGGAGAUUUACAGAAAAAGCUAUGUCGGGUAGAGUGUAAUUUGUAAGAUUAGUUAAUACUCUGAUUGCACUAAGAUAUGAUGUUUCAGGACCAAGAACCUUUUUCUCCAUCUUCAAGUGGACAAAAUGGAUCUUUUUUCACAUUAAGUAAUCGAACAACCAUAGGUGAUGCCAAUGGAUUUACAUUAUCCACGUAAAAAAAUUUUAAAACUUUUUCUGUAUACGUAGAUUAGUGAACAAAUAAUCCAUCUGCGGAAUAUUCAAUCUGCAAUCCAAGACAAAUUUGGUUUUUCUCAAAUCCUUCAUCUCAAAUUCGUAUUUCAAUCAGCAGUUUUGUUGAGCUCUUUAGGAGUUCCAAUUAAAGUUAAAUCAUGAAUAUAAACUGCUACAAUUGCAAAUUCACUAUUUAUUUUCUUUAUGAAAACACAUAGGCAGAUAUCGUCAUUUUUAUAACCCUCAUUCAACAAAUAUUCGCUAAAAUGAUUAUACCGCAUGCAUCCGGAUUGUUUUAAUCCUUAUAAUGAUCUUUACAAUUUAAUUGAGAACAUGAUUCUCGAGCAUGUAUCGUUUGUUCUUGGCACCUUAAAUCCUUCAGGGACUUUCAUAUAUAUGUCACUAUCAAGUGAACCAUAUAAAUAUGUAGUUACUAUAUUCAUAAGGCGCAUAUCAAACUUUUGUGACACAGUCAAACUAAUUAAAAAUCUAAAAGUGAUAGUGUCCAUUAUGGGAGAAUAUGUUUCUUCAUAAUUAAUGCCUGGUCUUUGUAAGAAACCUUGAGCUACUAGUCGGACUUUGUACCUUAUAAUUUCAUUAUUUUCAUUCCUUUUUCGUACAAAAACUCAUUUGUAUCCAACAAGAAUUACAUUUGUAGGUUCGAACAACAGGUUCAAACAUUUUUUUGUUUUUUCAAAGAAUUCAAUUCCGCUUGUAUGAUUUUUUUCCAUUUUGACCAAUAAUUUCUAUUUUGACGGUCUUUAACCGACUGUAGUUCAGAAUUCUCAUUUUGCGUAAUAGCAAUAGUCACAUUAAAGGUAAAAAUAUUGUAUAUAACAACAUUAUUUCGUCCCAUAAUUUAUAAGAUAAUAUAUAAUUUAUUGAAAUUUCAUUAUUUUUGGACACUUGUGGUUCUUCAGGAACCGUAUUUUCAAUAUCUAAUUUAUCAAUAUUUUUUAAUGUGAUUUCUUUUGAAAUUUUUGGUUGGUUUUCUCAUGUACCUUUCUUUUUCGAGGUACAGAGUCUUUUGAACCAACUGGUCGACCACACUUCUGGCGUAUUUGAAAUUCAUUUGCUAUAGCAGAUUGUCCUACGGUAACAUCAUUUUUUGCUGGAAUAUUUGCUGUUGGACCAUAUGACUUUGUCAUUUUUCUCGUGUCAACAAAUACAUUAGGUAAUUGAUUUGCAACUCUUUGCAAAUGAAUGAUUUUUUCAACCUCUUGCUCACACUAAUUACUACGGGGAUCAAAAUAAGAUAGAGUUGCUUCAUUCCAAGUAAUUUUACCUUAUUUUUCAGGAUAUAAUUUUUCCCUUCCCAAAGUUGGGAAAGUUAUUUCAUCAAAAUGACAAUCUGUAAAACGUACAGUAAAUAAGUCACCCAUCAAAGGCUCAAGAUACCUAGGAAUUGAUGGUGAAUCAAAACAAACAUAAAUCCCAAGUCUUCAAUGGGGAUCCAUUUUAGUACGUUGUGGGGGUGAAAUAGGGACUUGGACAACACAACCAAAGACCCGUAGGUGAGAAAUAUCAGGUCAUAACCAAAUGUCAGUUGCAAAGGUGAAUAUUAAUAAUAGGCAGUUACUCUAAUACGAACUAAUGAUGUAGCAUGUAAUAUGACAUGACCCCAAACAGAAGCUGGGAGUUUUAUUUUCAUAAGUAUUAGUCUAACAAUAAAUUGUAGACAUUUAAUAAACGACUCUGCCAAAUCAUUUUGUUUAUGGACAUGCGCAAUUGAAUGUUCAAUUAAAAUCUCGAUUGAUAUACAAUAAUUAUCGAAUGCUUGUUACCUAAAUUCACCAGCAUUGUCAAGGCGAAUAGUUUUAAUUGAGUAAUCAGGAAAUUGUGCUUGUAAUUUUAUAAUUUGAGCAAGUAGUCUAGCAAAUACUACAUUUAUAGUAGAAAAUAGACAAACAUGUGACCAUCUAGUAGAAGAAUCAAUUAAUACCAUAAAAUAAUAAAAUGAUCCACAUAGUGGGUGUAUUGGCCCACAUAUGUCUCCAUGAAUUCUUUCCAGAAAGUUGGAGAUUCAAUAUUGACCUUUAUAGUUGAAAGUCUAAUGACUAAUUUGCCUUGCAAACAAGCUACACAUGGAUAAUCAUUAGGUAAAAGAAUCUUCUGAUUUUCUAAAGGAUGUCCAUAUGAGUUGUUUAUUAUUUGACGCAUCAUUAUAGCUCCUAGAUGUCCAAGUCGAUCUUGCCAAAUGAUAAAGCUUUUUAGGUCAACGAACUUCUGGUUCGUGACAAUAUUUGAUUCAACCAUUUUUAUAAAUGUAUAAUAAAUGCCAGAUGGGAGUGUAUAUAAUUUUUCUUUUAUCUACUUUUGAUUAAAUAUAAAAGAAGUUAUGCAAAGAUGUUCCGUAUUAUUUUCUUGCGUCGUUUCAAUAUGAUAUCCAUUGCAACGGAUAUCUUUAAAACUAAACAAAUUUCUUUUGAAUUUGCUAGAAUAAAGUGCAUCGUUAAUAUAUAUAAUUUUGUAUUAUUUGGUAAAAUAAUACAAGCUCUUCCAGAGCCUACAAUGAUAUUCGAUGCACCUGUUAUUGUAUUGACAUUAUUUUCUUUCAAUGUUAAGUUCAAGAAAUAUUUUUUAUCUUGAAAAAUAGUAUGUGUAGUUGUACUAUCAAUCAAACAGGUGACAAUCCGUCAUGAAUCUAUCAAUAUAACAAAAUAGAUAUAUUUAAAAAAAAACUUGAAGUUAAAUUUAAAAUGAUAAGCAUAAUUAAUACUGUGAAAUAAUGAUGCAUAAUAAAGUUCUAAAUUUUUGCGAAAAGUAAAAACAUAUUUCAAACUAAAUUUCUAAAAUAAAGGGAAAUACUAGCAUAAAAAAACUAAUAUAUAUCUUUCAUCACACCACCCUCAAUCAAAUGGUCAAUAUUCCCAUUUGGAUCAGCAAAGAAAUCGGAGACAUCCAAAUAAGUGACAUCAAUUGGAUCAUUAUAAUCAGUAAAAUUUGUCUCCACUUUUUUCUUUCCCUUGAUUGAUUUUUGGUAGAGAUCCUCAAGGUGUUUUGUUGUACGACAUGUACGUGUUCAAUGCCCUUUCAUUCCAUAUCUAAAGCAACUUUCUUCGUGUACCUUUUUGGAUAUGCUACUUAGUUUGCUUUGUACCUUUUGAAAUUGUUGUAUUGUUGUUGAUUAUUUCGUCCAUUGUUUACUCCGCGACCACGUCUACGUUCAUGUCCUUGUCUUGAUAUUGCAUUUGCUUCAGGUAUUGUAGUACCAUUUGCUUCAGGAAAUGGUAUAGAACUAGUUGGACGUAACCCAUAAUUUUUCAUUAGCAGUUCAUUAUUCUGUUCCGCAACAAGCAGGCAACAUAUCAAUUCUGAGUAUUUUUUGAAACCACGCUUGCAAUAUUGCUGCUGCAGGAGCACAUUCGAGGCGUAAAAGGUAGAAAAGGUUUUUUCCAACAUGAUGUCUUCAUCAGUGAUUUUUCUCCACACAUUGUACUCACUAAUAGUUUUGAAGUCUUACAAACAAAGGCGCAUCCACUCAUAGCGGGCUUUGAGGAGGACUAUAGUCCUUUGAUGAUCAAAUAUUUCAGUUAAUUUUUUCCAAAGAUCCUGGGAUAUUUUUCAGUGAGGUAUCCAGUUUUCAGUCCAUUGUAAAGAUGAUGACAAAGGAAGAUGAGCGCUUUUGUACGAUCCUGCACGGGUUCUUUGUUUUUUUUCUUUUAUUGUUUCUCUCAAACCUUUUGACAUAAGAUGGAUGUUAGCGUCAAGUACCCAUAGUAUAUAGUUUUUGCCAAAGAUAUUAAGUGCAGUAAAGUUAAGUUUUGUGAUAUUUGCCAUUUGAUUAACUACAAAAUAAAGCAAAAGAAAAUACAAUUAAUUUCAAAGAAUAUGAUUAGACAUCACAUAAUAGUUAAUCAUGACAUAAGUUAUGUGUUUUCUUUAAAUGAUAAACACUAAAAUAAUAUAUUCUUGGAAACAUAUGCUACUUCAGGAGCACUUAGUAUUUUACUAUUACUUAUUCAAGAGCAAUAUGUCAAUAUUUUUCUAGAAUAUUGAAAAUUAUAAUUUAUUCUUUUGAGGAGCAAGUAAUAUUCUUUAAAAAUAUUAAUUAUAAUAUUGUGAUACUUCAGGAGUAUCAACUAACUAUAUAUAGUAGAUAGAUUUUAAGUUAAUAUGCUUCUAGAAUAUUAAUUAUAAUAUUGUACUACUUCAAGAGCAAUAUGAUAAAUUUUUAAGUUAAAGUUUAUAUAAGAACAUCUAAAAUAUUUAAUUACCAUAUAGACAUGGUAUAAAUUUACAUAUAAGAAUUAAUCACAAAAAAUGUAUAAGUAAAGGAAAGAAAAAUCUUCCAAGCAUGCAUGUGAAAGGAAUAUUUAAUUACCGUACAAACAGGAUAUGAUGUAAAAAUUAAUUACCAAAUAGAUAAUAUAUGAAUUUAUAUUUUAAAAUUGAUUACCAAACAUAUAUUAGGAAAAAGAAUCUUCAUACAUAGAAGUUUAAAAAAUUGGUUAAAUCACUUAUUGGCUAAAUCUUUUACCAACAUGCAAAAGAUACUAAACAUGUAUGUGAAUUUCACAUAUUUAGAAAUUAAAGAUAGAACUAAUAUGUAACAGAUUCAAAAAACAGAAUGAAUACUGAAUAAUAUGUGAAAAAAAUGAUCGUAUAUGAAUAAUAAAAAUGUGAAUUAAUUUGUGUUUAGAUUACACAUACAAAUAUGAAUUAGAAUUAAUAUGCUUGCCGAUGAAAAGUAAAGAAGAAGAAGCAACAUCGUUAUGAUGUAUAUGUAUAAUGAAAUAGUUCAUAUUCUACCAAAUUAAUUUUGGUACACGUGACAAAUAUUCAUGUCUAUAAAAAUUAUUACCUUCACUAAAUUUUGAAAAAUUAAGAUAUCGUGCUAAUAACGUGUUAUAAAAUGAAGAAAAGAAAAGAGAACAGAGAAAAAUCAAUAGGCUUGUUUAUAUUUUAUUAAGAACCAAAACUUUAUAUUUAUAGGACAGAAUUAGGGAUACAAUAGUAAUUAUUUAUAGGGCUAUAGGGGUGUAAUUGUCAUUCACCUCUAAACCCUAAUAAACUUUCCUUUUACAACAUUUACCUAAUUUUUAUCUUAUUCGCCUUGGAUAUUUUACACCUUGCUUAGCGCAUACAAUAUCCAUGUUUAUCUCAAUUCCCUACAAGGCCCAAUCACCUCCAAACUAUCAUAGAAUUGGCUUAGUAGUUGUGUUGUCUAUUUUGUUUUGAGUUUUAAAAACCUAUGGUCACAAUCAAUUCAACAUAUUCUAUCCAUUGAUUCAACCUAAAUAAUAUGUGAUUUUAAUGACUAUUUUGCUUAAUUUAAAUCAAUCUAUCAUGGACAGGCUUCAACUUAGUCAAACAGGCGCCCCUAGUCACAAUUAAUAAAUAAAAUAAUAAUAAUUUCAAAUAACAUCAUCAUAUGCCGACAAGGCUAUAUAUCCAUUCACACAAACAGGUAAUUUUUUUUAAAAAAAAACUUAUAACUAAAUUAUAAAAAUAUGAAAUGAGCAUAAAUAUAUUCUAACCUAUAUAACCCUCAUGUAAAGUACAAAUCAAACCUCCUAACUUAAACUACACAUUAGUCCCUAAUUUGAAAAAUAAAAGUAAAAUGAGAUAUUACACCUAGUUUUUCCAUGAUCUGCUAGAGGUGGUGGUGGAUACUGGGUCCAAUGAAAUUGUCCCAUAAGCAUCAUCAUUUAAUCAUGACCCUGACAAUGACUCUCUUCCAUCGGACGAAGCGUGGUAAGGAGUAUUUCUUGUCCCUACAAUUGUCUCUGACGUUCAUGCUAUUGUCUUUGCCCUUCGUAUAGCCGCCUUUCCUCUUCACCUAGCUGCUUGAUGACAUCUUCUUGAUUUUGCAUGGACGUCUGGAUGUUCCUUAAUGAUUGUCUAAAUUUAACACCACUUCAAUGAUCGAGUCAUGGUGGCAGGACCAGGACUUGUCUGUCGAUUGGUUCUUCUUUUGGAGGGGGCAUAUCUUCUUCUACCUUCUCUUUUCUUUCUCUUCAUCUGUCCUACUGCCAGUCUCCCUUGCUUGUGCCUAUUUAUCUGUGAUGUUGACUGUCUUAUUAUUGUAAGGCGUAAAAGUGGUGGCAUCUUUUGUUCUACUUCAAACGGUGUCAUAGGUACUCUCGCAUCUUUCCACAAUGAAAAAAUCAAACUAGACAUUGUCAAUUUUUUGUGAGAUCUCUAGGAACCAUAGCAAUAUCCCCACAACAAUGUAAUCUUUAAUAUAUAAAUUACAGUAUUAUGUAUUGUUAGGAUCAUGUUGCUUGAGAGGAAAUGAUGGAAGAAGCGUAAUUCAUCAUUCAUUUCGCCAUGAUGAACUAUGUAGGUGGUUGGCCAAUCUUUAGGCUUGGCCCUUGGAUAUAUGAAUUGUGCUACUGUAUCCUAAUUGACGGUCACCGGUACUUCAGACCCUUCUUCAAUAUUAUAAUACUCUAGCUUGUAUAAUUGUGGGAUUGAACGAAAUCCAUACUCUACGCACAUAUGUUUUAGAUAGUGGUCCCGUACAGCUGUGUGUAAACUUUAUUGGGUUUAGCACAUAGUUUGGUCCAUCCCUUUUCUGUGACAAUGUUCAAUAUGCUCAUGAAUUGAAAUUGGUCUAGUAGCAUUCCCCUCUCGUGAAUAAGAGUCCAAUUAUUGAAUAUAUCUGCACAUUGUGUUGCUUCUUCAAACAUAUAAAUUUCAUAAAACGGGAGCUCGAAUCAGGCCCCAUUUCCAAUGCUAAAGGACUCGACAAUUCCCUUUCCCAUAUUCACUCUAGAGGUUGUUGUUCUUGGAGGCAUUGUAAAUGAGUUAUAUACUACAGAUGUAAAUAAAAUGUUAGGCCAAAUUAUAUUUCAUCAACUUGUACAAGGAAAAUAUGUAUUUAAUGAUAAGGUAUAUAUGCAAGGAUGAAGUGAAUAACGUGACUCAAGUGAAAUUUUCAUUAUGUGUGAUGAUUGUGGAGUGGACAAACACCCCCAAACUUAAUGUGGUAUGGUAGGGUUAAUUAUAUGAAUGGUCACUGAACUUUGCCCUAUGUCACUACUUAGUCACUUAACUUAAAAAUGUAACUCAAUGGUCACUGAAUUUCGUCAAGUGUUACUACUUCAUAACCGAACUUUAAAAUAUAUCUCAAUAGUCACCGAACUUUGCACCGUGUUAUCCAUCCGUCACUCAAAUGGAAAAAUCCGUUAAGUUCAACAAACGGCGUCAACUUGAGUGAUGGAUGGAUAACAGAGUGUAGCAUGAUUGCCUUCACAAUUUUCCCACACAUUUGCUCCGUGUGUUUAAGACUUUGCCAAUAACUCCAUCUACUUUGUCAAAACAGACAUAUGUACAUUAAUAAAUGUGUUGUCCAACUCAUUGAUUCCAGUUAUUUUCUUUGGCACUCCUCUUUCAGAUGAAAACAUGGAGUGAGUAGCUGCAAACAACUAGAAUAAGUCCAAAAAUUAUUGAAUUGAUUUACUAAUUAUGGACCUGUUUUUUAAAGAAUCCACCUGAGAUUUGUUGAUAAUCCAUAGUAGAAAUACUCUAUCAAUUACCUUUGCUUAUCCCAUGAUUUGUACACUUCCUCAUCAAAUCUUUGAAUAUCUUCCAAGCAUCGUGGCAACUUUCCCCAUCACGUUGCUGGAAUGUUUGGAUUUCAAGUCGAAUUUUUGCUACUUUGGUAGGUAGGAAGAAUUAAUUGCAGAUUUUCCUUGCCAAGUUGUUAACUGUGACCAUCUACUCUUAAUAAUAUUUUUUUCUUAUUCUUAUCAUUUUAUUUUAUUUCAUUAUUAGUUUUUAAAUCACACUACAAUUUAAUAAUUUGUAUUUGACUCAAUUAGGCAUUUCAUAGUAAAUUCAAAACAUAUCAUGAAAAUCAAAUUAAUAAUAUAGAGUUAAAAGAACCGUCAAAUUUAUAUUAUAGUAAAGGAGAAUUUUCCUUACAAAAUAUAUCUGGUAGCAAGUUAGCUAUAUGACAAUCCAAAUUUUUUUAGUCAAAAGAAAUGUCUGCUAAUUUUCAAAAAAAUUUCCUUAGAUCUGACCUAGAGCAGGUUGAUGUGGCAUUAUAUCGACGUCAGAUAAGUUAUCCCAUUUCACUCCAUUGUUUUACUAUGUAUCAUGAUCCUAUUUUACAUAAUAUCACUUCACUGUUUACUCCACGUAUAUCCAAAUAUUUACAUAACGACAUGUAAUCAAGUUAUAUCACAAAAGUGAUAAACCUUGAUUGGGAUAAGUAUCAUUUAACAGUACAUUCGGUAAUUCUAUGUAGUCUAGAUUCCAUUGUAAAAACAACUUUUCCUUUGCCUUUGACUGUUGGAGUAUAGAAAAAUAUUUUAUAGUUAAAUUUCUAUACAAGUUACAAGAUAUGUCACUUUGGAUUUCAAAAGUGAUAUACUUUUAUUAUUCUUAUUUUAAAACUAAAAAUGACAUAUUGAAGUCUGUAAUAUGUAUACUAUUCUACAGUAGGAAAACUUGAAAGUCAAUCCAAAAUAAAAGCUCAAACACACUAGUUUCAUAAAUCAUUUUAACUUUCUUUCAUUUUGUGAAUUCUUCUUCACAUUGACAGUGAAAUUAUUUCAAUCCUUGUUUCAUUCUUGAUUUCUUCAACUCUUGAUAUGUUUUAUAAACAACGAAAACGAAUUCUUCCAAAUUACUUCCAAAUUUUUAUUACUUCCAAAUUAACAACCUUUAUUAAAUUCCACCUCAAAAAGGUAGGGAGCGAGAUCUGAAUAUCAGUCUGUAAGCUUAAGUAAAAAUGUUCUAUUUCUAAAAGUUCAAUUUACAUGGUUAUUGACCAUUUUAUUAAAAAGUUUGCAGAGUAUGUCAUUUUCUAAUCCAGUACCUUAAUUCAUAUUAAAGACAAACCAAAAUGAUAUAAAGAUUGGAAUUUUUUACAUCAAUGUGUUAAAAUAAAUUGUCAAGUGUUAUUAUUUUGAUUAAGUGGAGGUACAUUUUAACAAUACUAUACAUUUUAAAAUUUUUAAAUCAUGUCAUUUUUUAAUGCAAAGAUAAGGCUGAAUUCAUAUUUAUAAUUAUAUUUUCAAAACACCUUGUAUGCAUCUCUUCAAUUAAUCCAAACGUAAUUUUAAUAGUUAAUAACUCCUAAUCAUUAAUCCGAAGAUGAAUUUUCAUAUCUACUAACCCAAAAAAACCACAGAAAUUGUCAUAGUUGAAAUAUAUAUAGCAGUUCAAAGACAUCCAAACAUGUUUAUAAAUCUGUAAAAUUAGUUAAUAAUUACUUUUCUUUUUCUCAUUAAUUAUGAAAUCUUUAAUAUAUUAUUGAAGAAUCACAUUCAAAAAGAUGCUUUACAAAAUUAUAAAUCCUAAGCAAAUUAACUAUUAAUUGUAUAAAGAAGAGUAUUCUAUUCCUUAUUAUGCCAUGCAGAGCCGGUCUUGUGAUUCUCGGGGCCUGAGACGAAGUCUGAAAAUUAGGUCCCUCAACGAAAUCAACGUAAAUGCAAACUUCAACAAUAUAUUAUGUGAUUCAUUACUAACUUGAAAAACUAAUAUUAAAACAACAACCAAAUAUAUUAUAGAAAAUUAUCCAAGGAUAAAAUAUCAUGUAGCAUUAUGUAAAUCAUUAAGUAGACCUUGAUGUACAUGUAACAUGCUCCAAAGCAAAGUAAGUACAAAGCAAAUUUCUACUAAAAAAAUUUGCCACCUGCCACAACAUACCACCACAACCACAUCGACCCAAACCCAUCAACCUUCCUUCAAUCACAUAUCUAACAGCACUACUGUAGCCACAAAACUACCAACCAGAAUUGAAAACUUUCCCCACAAUAUCUUUACAAGAUUGAAAUCAGAAGUUCAAACAAAAUGUAUUAUGGAUCUACCUCAGUAAAUAUGAAUUAAACUAACGCAUGCCAAUUGAAUAUCAUCAAAAAAUGGACAUCAGAGUUUAUUUUCCCUUUCCCUUUUCUUCAGUAACCAAGAACACAAAUAUCACAAAUCAUAAUACAGAACGGAAAACUGAAAUUCUUCACAGAAACAAAUCUGUGAAAACUUCAAAUAAAGGUAGCACAAAAAGGCCCAUCUUACAGAUAUUGUUACUUGCUCUUCAACCAGCUAGGUGGCUCAGAGACUUAUUGAACAUUGUGUGCCACAUGUAAGCCCAGGACAACACCAUUUCAAGAUCCAUUUCAUUCCAGUUUUGAGUUGGAGGGUGCUGAAGAAACAUGACCAUAUCCUGAAAUUCAAGCUCGUGGAGCUUCUCUAACCACUAGAAAUAUAUAAUUAAUUUCAGUUUCCAACUGUUUGACAGUUAUAAUCAUACAAAAGAUCAAAUAUUACCGAGUCAAUAUUUAAUUAUGUUGAGUAAAACUGUAAGAGAAAGAAAGAAAUGCACAUGAGGUAGGUAUGGUUUUAAGCAUUAGUUGGAAUGACCACUGAAAUUAUGAAAUUCCAUCAACUAUAUAGCAAGUUAUGUGUUAUUCAAUUUCAAAGAUAUGUGCAAAAUCAAAUAUUACCGUUAAAAGAAAGCUUGCAAAUAUGUACACGAGAAAAUCUGGCAACGCAUCUCCUUCCGCAAGAUAUGUGUCCCACAAGCAGGUUACAAGAUGAAAAUGAAUCUACAGAGAAUAUAAAUCCAUUGGGUAUUCUUUUUGCUAUGAAAAUUGUCAAUAUCGAUUUCACAACUCAAAUACAGUCCAAGAACUACCUCCGGCAGCCCGGCUCUGGCUGUUAGUUGUUACAGCAUUCUUGAUUCUCCAAAGUCCGAACCAAGAAUCACAGAGUCAGAACCUUCCAUUUCCAGUUUCCACUGCAAUUUGAGCCUUAAUACACUUGUGACUUCUCUCUCUAAAUGGUUCAACCAACCCGAAUUUCUAUGAUUGCCAAAAUAUGCCUAGCUUUUGCUCUCUAUGUGAGUGUGCUGUGUGCGCAGGCGAGACGCAGACUUGAGGUUUUAGAGAACUGCGAAGCCAAGUGGCCAAUUAACCAAGCGAGAAAAUAUCGGAUUCUUUCUGGAAGACUGGAACUAUGGAUUCUGGAGAGUGGAGACUAGCAGCGGAAGCAGGAGAAGUUGAGCGAGAGAGAUGGGACUCAGUCACUCAGACGGAAGCGACGAAGCUUUUGGGGAAAAUGGAUUUCAAUUUGGGAAUUUUGGGGAAAAUGGAUAUUGGAUCAGGAUACGGGCUUGAGCUUCAGAGGUUUGGGCCAUUGUUCAAAGAAAAAAAUUAAACAAAGAGGGCCCCUUAGAUUUUGGGCCAUUGUUCAAAGGAAAAAAAAAUAAUAAUAAUAAAUAAAUAAAUAAAUUGGGCCAGCAAUAUGAGGCCCCCUUAGAUUUUGGGCCUGAGGCGCAGGCCUCAUUUGCCUCUAGGCAGAACCGGGCCUGAUGCCAUGUAUAGCAUGGACGCAAGGGAAAAGAUGAAAAAACAAGCUAUGAAAUGGUGGGCAAAAAAGACAGAUGCAGGCAUUAUGGACCUAUCAGUGCUAAUAAGUCCUUAGAGCAUCUCCAAUGAUGCUCUAAAUUAGAUCUAAAUCAUGAUAAUGGAUAUUGGAUCAGGAUACGGGCUUGAGCUUCAGAGGUUUGGGCCAUUGUUCAAAGAAAAAAAUUAAACAAAGAGGGCCCCUUAGAUUUUGGGCCAUUGUUCAAAGGAAAAAAUAAAUAAAUAAAAAAUUGGGCCAGCAAUAUGAGGCCCCCUUAGAUUUUGGGCCUGAGGCGCAGGCCUCAUUUGCCUCUAGGCAGAACCGGGCCUGAUGCCAUGUAUAGCAUGGACGCAAGGGAAAAGAUGAAAAAACAAGCUAUGAAAUGGUGGGCAAAAAAGAUAGAUGCAGGCAUUAUGGACCUAUCAGUGCUAAUAAGUCCUUAGAGCAUCUCCAAUGAUGCUCUAAAUUAGAUCUAAAUCAUGAUAUAGACUUUUAAAGUGGUUGAAAACCUCGUUAGAGAGAUAUAAAGGAAUUAAUUCAAAGUGCAUUUUUCGACAAUAAAUGUAAAAAAUAUGGAAAAAAAUACAUUUUUUAAGAUCUACUUGUGGAAGCCACAGGAGGGCAAAAAGUUGCCAACUCAUUUGCACCCAUUUUUUUUUUUUUAGAUCUUCCCAUUUAAUUAAAAUUUGAAUUUAGAUUCAUCGAGAAGUGAGAGGAUGUUUGGGAGACAUUUUUAUGUAAAAAUGUAUUUUUGAACAGUAAAUUGAUGAAAAAUGUGUGGUUGAAAAAUAAAGAAAAGUUUUUGAUUUACGUGUAAUAUUAUUUUAAUAAAAAAUGUGUGAUUGAAAAGAAAAGAGAGAAAAAUGUAUUUUAAAAAAAAUGGGUACCGACAAGCUAGUUUUCAAUCAUUACGAUUUGAAGUCAAAUUUAGACGGGUUUUCAAUCUAUUUUUCGUUUGAACUUACGAGUUCAGUGAAAUCCGAUUUUCAUGACAUUAUUGUAAAAAAAUUAAUAAGAUGAUUGAAAUUGUCAAAAGAAACAAGACUAUUGAACCUACAUUGAUCUACCAUCUUUUGUUUUUUAUUGAAAAAUAAUAUUAGGAAAAAAAGAAAGAAAGAAAGAAGUGGCAAGGCUUGGAUGGACUGCCUAGCACGCCAUAUAAUAGUCUUUAAACGGAACAAACUUGAAGUUAUUAAACACACUGUUAAGGAUUUUAACUAAAAAAAUAAAUUCAUAAAAAAAACAUUUAUUGAUAGGAGAAAGGAUUACAAAAAUUAAAAAAUCAAAAUCAAAUGAAGAGAGAGAGAGAGAGAGAGAGAGAAUGUAUUAUGAAAUCAAAAAAUGAACUAAUAAUUUGGUCAUCUCCAACCCUGCACCAAAAUUGAAGUAAGUUUUGCACCAAUUUUAUAUCAAACUAAAAAUCAUCUCUAACCAUUAUACCAGAUGAACAGUAUUUAAUCAUUUUCUUCCCUUUUUCUAUUCUUAAUAAUUUAUUUAUUUGAAAAAAUAUUUAUUUAUUUAUUUUACAAAUACAUAAAUUACUAAAUAAAUAAUUAAGUUAAAUUAACUAAAAUAAUAAAUUAACUAAUAAGUACAAAAUUAUAGUACAAUUAAUGUAAACACUAUAAAAAAAAGAAAAUAUUAAAUCAUGCCAUUAAAAAAUAGUGAAAUGCAUUUUGAAUUUGGAUAUUAUGAUAUGAUAUGAAGUCUAAAUAGCGUUGCAAUUUAAUUCCUAAAUUUCGUACAUUUUUCCCACAAAUGAUCGAUUAAUGUAUUUGAAAGUGCAAUGUGGAUCUCUUUAUCCUUGAUUUGUCUAUGAUAAGUAAGAAUGAUUAUAGUUUUCAACAACUCAACCUCUGGACUCGGUGCUUUCGUCUUCCAAAUUACUAAAUUAUUCACUUAUUUUAUGUAUCGUUUUCUUUAAAUAAUCUAGAAUAAUGUAUAUAUGUGGUUGUUAUAAUAUAUUUCGUGUUAACUUUAAAUAAUUGUGUUUGUUAUAUUUUAAAAUUUUUUAUUCUUAUUUUAAUUAAUUCAUUAAUUAUUAUUGUUUACAUUAUUAAAAUUUUUAAAUGGAAGAAAAGAGUAAAUUUGACUUUGCAUCAUUUUGCACCAAAUGGUGCGAAAUUUGGUGCCACCUGCUCCUCCGGGACCUUCUCUUUCUCCCAAGGCUCUUUGGCCUUCACUAGCCUCUGAGGUGUCCUCUCUUCGGGAGCCCUUGAACUGCUGUCCUUAGAGAGGCGCUCAACCCUGCUCGAAAACCUCUUUGGCACCAAUCGACCCCCGUUUCAGGGGCCUCGCCUUUACAGUGGAUGUGGCCCUAAGCAUAGAGGUCAUGUCACGGGCUGAGUAUUCCCUCCUCUUGAACUUGUUUGCAGAACAUGUCAAUGCAUCAGCAUCAAAACAAAAAGCAAGAAAUACAAAAGUAUAGGAGCUUCUUACCCUUGGAGGCCAUCAGUUCAAAAUCAAGGAAGUAGUGACUUCAGUCGAUGAGGUGUCGAAGUGGUGAAACUUCAGAGGUCUCUUUUAAAUGUCCUCUAUCACUUCAAACUUCUUCUUGCUCAACUCGAACCGCGUACUGCUAUUUGCAAAGGAAGCCUCAACAGUUAGAAAAAGAAUUUUGAAUACAGAAUGCAAGCUACUUAGGCUGGGAGACUCACGAGCUUCGUAGUACUGGGUCGGUACUGUGCAAGCUAGGGUUGUGUCCCCCUCCACCGCCUGCCACCUGCCCCUCACCCAAAACCACGACUUCUUCUACCCCUUAAUGGAAGAAUGCAGCCCCACCACAAAUGGUGCAUGAGCCCCCCAAGGAGUUAAGUAAUACCACCCCAUUGACUCCUUACCUAUUACCCUAGGCUGAAAUAAGGUCAUGAAGACGUGGAGAGACAUGUCCUCCCAAAGUGACACUUCCUUCUAUAGGAAGUACGAGCCAACCAAUUGGCUCCAACCAUUUGGCAGAACCUGGGUUGGCAACAACAUAAAGUUCCUCAGCACCGCCUUGAAGAAGGGGUGCAGAGGAAGACGUAUACCUGCCUUAAACAGGUACUCGCUCACCGCCACGCAUCCAGGCCUCGGAUAGCAGGCUCGCUCAUGGGCUUCGGGUACUAACAUCUCUACAUAAUGAGGUACACAGUACCUAUCCCUAAUCUCUCUCAGCCUCUUCCAUGUCAUAUUUGAAAGGACUCUAGACGCCCUCUACUCUUCACUGUAGUCUACUGCCUCCUCGGUUAUAGUAUAUUGCUCAACCCCGGAGUCCCCCUGUAACUAGCCCCUUGACCGAAUGAUGCGAUAGUGACCAACUCCCUUCCCGAGGUGGACUCCAUUUCAGAAAAGGACUAAGAACGCAAUACAAGGGAUUUUCUGUGAAAAUACCUACGGGAAUAACUACGCCAACGUAAUGGUGCCGGAAAACCAGGGAACAAAUAGCUUCAACGCUGAAAAACUUAAGCUUUGGAAGAAAAAUCAGAUUGCAAAGGUAGAAAAUCCAGAAAAAUGGGGGUCUCUCGCCUUUUAUAAAGGGCUAGGACGAACCCCAACCGUCUGAUCAAAGCCCAUCCAAUCUGGACCCUUCAUUCUAAAUCAAAUUCGAGGUGUAGAAUUCAAACGAUUUUUCAAACCUAUGCCUUAGAUUUAAGCGUGUCUCCCACGUACCUCCCCCAACGCGUCUGCUUCUAGAAGCUCCAGCUGUUCUCAUGAUUACGACUUUAAUUCGACGGUAGCAGGCGCCUUGGAAGUUGUAACGGUUCAGCCAUCUUUCCUCGAAAAUAUGAGCAAAACAUCAAAUUAUUGGCACAACUGUCGAGGAACAAUUAUUGUCAAUGUGCCUCAGAUUUUAGCCAUCAAGCCUCUCAGGUUCGAUUCUCAACCACCUCGGCUUCCUCUUCAUCAUUCAGCCAUAAAGCCUCGCAGAUUUGGUUUCCCAAACCACCUCGACUUCCUCUUCAUCAUUCAGCAUAAAGCCCCGUAGGUUCGGUUUCCCAAACCACCUCAGCUUCCUCUUCAUCAUUCAGCCAUCAAGCCUCGCANNNNNNNNNNNNNNNNNNNNNNNNNNNNNNNNNNNNNNNNNNNNNNNNNNNNNNNNNNNNNNNNNNNNNNNNNNNNNNNNNNNNNNNNNNNNNNNNNNNNNNNNNNNNNNNNNNNNNNNNNNNNNNNNNNNNNNNNNNNNNNNNNNNNNNNNNNNNNNNNNNNNNNNNNNNNNNNNNNNNNNNNNNNNNNNNNNNNNNNNNNNNNNNNNNNNNNNNNNNNNNNNNNNNNNNNNNNNNNNNNNNNNNNNNNNNNNNNNNNNNNNNNNNNNNNNNNNNNNNNNNNNNNNNNNNNNNNNNNNNNNNNNNNNNNNNNNNNNNNNNNNNNNNNNNNNNNNNNNNNNNNNNNNNNNNNNNNNNNNNNNNNNNNNNNNNNNNNNNNNNNNNNNNNNNNNNNNNNNNNNNNNNNNNNNNNNNNNNNNNNNNNNNNNNNNNNNNNNNNNNNNNNNNNNNNNNNNNNNNNNNNNNNNNNNNNNNNNNNNNNNNNNNNNNNNNNNNNNNNNNNNNNNNNNNNNNNNNNNNNNNNNNNNNNNNNNNNNNNNNNNNNNNNNNNNNNNNNNNNNNNNNNNNNNNNNNNNNNNNNNNNNNNNNNNNNNNNNNNNNNNNNNNNNNNNNNNNNNNNNNNNNNNNNNNNNNNNNNNNNNNNNNNNNNNNNNNNNNNNNNNNNNNNNNNNNNNNNNNNNNNNNNNNNNNNNNNNNNNNNNNNNNNNNNNNNNNNNNNNNNNNNNNNNNNNNNNNNNNNNNNNNNNNNNNNNNNNNNNNNNNNNNNNNNNNNNNNNNNNNNNNNNNNNNNNNNNNNNNNNNNNNNNNNNNNNNNNNNNNNNNNNNNNNNNNNNNNNNNNNNNNNNNNNNNNNNNNNNNNNNNNNNNNNNNNNNNNNNNNNNNNNNNNNNNNNNNNNNNNNNNNNNNNNNNNNNNNNNNNNNNNNNNNNNNNNNNNNNNNNNNNNNNNNNNNNNNNNNNNNNNNNNNNNNNNNNNNNNNNNNNNNNNNNNNNNNNNNNNNNNNNNNNNNNNNNNNNNNNNNNNNNNNNNNNNNNNNNNNNNNNNNNNNNNNNNNNNNNNNNNNNNNNNNNNNNNNNNNNNNNNNNNNNNNNNNNNNNNNNNNNNNNNNNNNNNNNNNNNNNNNNNNNNNNNNNNNNNNNNNNNNNNNNNNNNNNNNNNNNNNNNNNNNNNNNNNNNNNNNNNNNNNNNNNNNNNNNNNNNNNNNNNNNNNNNNNNNNNNNNNNNNNNNNNNNNNNNNNNNNNNNNNNNNNNNNNNNNNNNNNNNNNNNNNNNNNNNNNNNNNNNNNNNNNNNNNNNNNNNNNNNNNNNNNNNNNNNNNNNNNNNNNNNNNNNNNNNNNNNNNNNNNNNNNNNNNNNNNNNNNNNNNNNNNNNNNNNNNNNNNNNNNNNNNNNNNNNNNNNNNNNNNNNNNNNNNNNNNNNNNNNNNAACAAGACACUUGUUUUAUAAGCAUAGGAUUCUUUGAUUGCCACUUAAAAAUUAUGAGCAGACAGUGUGCAUAAAGUCCAGCAUUUAAAUAAAUAAAUAAAUAUAUAUAUAUAUAAAACAAGACACUUGUUUUACAAGCAUAGGAUUCUUUGACUGCCAGUUAAAAAUUAUAAGCAGACAACGUGCAUAACCGUAUAGUCCAGCAUUAUAUAUAUAUAAUAUAUGCACGCGGGGUAGUGAACUAAAGUUAGCAAUUAUUUCACAUGGGAUGAUGAUUCAACUCGUCACGUUAUUAUUUGUUAACGAUUCCGUACGCUUACAAAUUUUGUUUGAAUACUCUUCAUAUGGGUUCGAACAGGAUUGUCAUGCAAGCAGAAUGAUGUGGAGUGUGAGUCUAGAUUGUUUGUUACGUGUCUGUUGUGUGGCCAUGCUUGGAGUCUCGAAGAAAGAAGCGUAACAGAUGCUAAAAACAAAUUGUACUUGAUUGAGUUUAUAAAUAGAAUUAAGUUAAGUGUACAAGUAUGAUUGACAACAUUGGUUGAUGAACAUGUAUUGUCAAAAUUUAAGUGUUUGAUGUAGAAAACAAUUAUUUUUUUUAAAAAAGUGGAUGAAUAAUUGAAUAUAAUAACGUCAAGUAGGAUGUUAUCAACCAAUAAUGUCAACAAACAUUGUACAUAUAUACAUAUAGUAUGAUUGUUAUAAAUGUUUUAUAAGCCCCCGUUUGGCCUCCCAUUUUUUGAAAUGAAAACGUGUGAAAUAAUAUUUUUUUGAAAAUUAAGUGAUUGGAAAAAAAAAGGAAAAUUUUUCGAUUUAUGUAUAAUAUUAUUUUAUGAAAGAUUGUGUAGUUGAAAAUAGAAGGAGGAAAAAUAAAAUAUAAUAUAAUGGGACUAAAUUGAUUGCCAAAAGCAAAUUGCAUAGAAUCGUACAUGCAGGAACAGUGUACUAUUUUCAACUUUAAAUAUCAACCAAGCACUUCUUAUCCUCUGAAACCAUUUAAAAAAACGUGCAUGUAUUUAUGCAUUCUAUAUAUUCUACAUUUCUUGAGGAGUUUCAGUAGUUUGAGUUUGAAGAAGAAAAGAUGUCUAUAGUUGUGAGAAUUCUGUCGUUGGGAUGGGCUAUCAUGAUGAUUACGAGUAUUACAAAUGUUGCAGAUGGAGCAAUUCCUAAUGAUUUGCAGGAAAAGAUUUCUAUCAUAAACAAUGAUGGUCCUUACUUGGGUAUUGUAGUGCCCAACAGUUUUGAGAUGAACCCUCUUCUCCAAUCUUCAAGUUUUGUUCCUCAUUCCACGCUUUCCUACUUGGAUUUUGCAGGUUAGACAACUAUUCACUUGAAAUUUAAUUUAUUGCUUACUUUGAUUUUGUGUAAGAUGAACUAUUCGGUACCAAACGGUAAAAUAUAAAAAAUAAAAUAAAAUAAAGUGGUAUAAUCUUGUCUAGUGCUCCACACUUUUGUCUAAUGUUAUAAUGGUGAAAAAUAAUUUAUUUAUUCAAACGUUAAUAUUAAUUAACUAUUGAAAACAAAGUUUAGAUACUGUUGUUGUCAAUCUUCUCGUAAUAUGUUUGGUUCUACCAAAUCUUCAAGGAGACAGCAAGAAAUAGCAUAAUAUCCAGUUAUAAUAUUCCAAAAUCUUAUGCUUAUUUUCUUCAUCUUCUGCAUUGAAACAGGAAGAAGAUUUCGAUUUGGAACUUUGGAAAGUCGAAAAGUUAUCAUUGUCAUGUCCGGACUCAGCAUGGUAUGUUCAUUUUUGUAAUACCCUACUUACAAGGAAAAUUCAAUGAUUUAUUUCUUCCCAUUUUUCAGAGGUACAACAUAAUUAAUUUAAAUUAUUAUUUCAUAGCUUAAUGCAGGAUUAGUAACACAGUUGCUGCUUAGUAUAUUCGAGAUUGAAGGAGUAGUUCACUUUGGAAUAGCAGGAAAUGCAAAUCCUAACUUACAAAUAGGAGAUGUUACUAUCCCUCAUUAUUGGGCUCAUUCAGGCGUUAUCUCACUACGUAAAACCCAUCGAUUUAGAUGCUCCGAAAACUAUCAAAAUAAGCUGAGAAAAGCACUAGAUCAUUUUCACGUGUAGUGUAUACUCACAUAUAUUCCCAUUAAAUGACUUUGUUUAAAUCCUUGCGCAAUUUUUUUGAUCAGAGGUUUGGAGAUGGGCCUGAUGAUGAACUUGCAUUUGAAUCUAAUGGAGACUAUACAAGAAAAAUCGGUUAUCUUAAUUUCUCUCAAUAUGAAAAUGGCACAAAAAAUGGGAAUUAUUCAGGCAACCUUCUCAACAAUGUGUGGUAUCAAGCGGAAGAGAUAUUUUCCAUUGAUGGACAACCUGAGAUUAGACAGCAUGCCUUUUGGGUUCCUGUUGACAAGCUGUACUUUUCACUUGCAGAAAAACUUGAGGUUAAUUUUCUACUAUCUUGGCUUAAUCUCUUUUGACACCAAAGUUUAUCUACUACAAUGAAACUUUACUGAAAGACUUACACUAACCACAAAUAUGAUUAGCCCAAAAGAUUGACACAUUUGUUUACUUAAAUUUAGUUUUUAAUUUUCGCUUUUCUGUACAGGAUAUUGUCCUUGAAAAGUGUGUCAAUUCUACUACGUGUUUACCUCGAUCUCCAAAGGUAUUUAGAGUGGAAAGAGGAGUGAGUGCUAAUGUGUUGUUAGACAAUGCUGCCUAUCGAAAUUUCUUGUAUUCCAAGUUCAAUGCAACUCCGGUCGACAUGGAAAGUGCUGGAGUAGCCCUCGUAUGUCUCCAACAAAGGACCCCUUUUAUAGCAAUUAGGGCACUAUCUGAUUUAGCUGGUGGUGGUUCUUCUCUCUCCAAUGAAGCUGCUAUCUUCUCUUCACUAGCUGCUCAAAAUUCAGUUACUGUUCUACUUAAGUUCAUUACCUUGCUGUUUUCGCAACCUCAAGUUAUUUAACUUUUAACCGUUGGUACCAAAAAUAAAGCAGCUGAUUCAGUAGCAUGGGUUGAGAUAAAGGCCCGGUGUCAUUAUGGACACAAUCCAAUAAAGUUAUUAAUCAAUGUUGUUCCUAUUGAAGUUCAUUUUAUAAUGUUUUUCUUAUAAUGUUGUUUAUAUAAACCCCAUAUGGAAUGCAAUUAAGAGUAAUACACAAAUAUCUGCAUUGAUAUUCUAUUAAAAAAGAAUAAUGACGUGAACCAAUAGAAAUCGCCUCCCAAAUGGAUAUAUCAAGAAAUACAUGGCUAGAAAUAUCCAGUACUCUCUAGAAUCCACCAAAGAGAGACAAGAAUUCCAAGAGAAUGACAAAUAUAUCUCAAACAAAAAUAGGUUUAUAUUCAAAUAAUUGUGUUUCUACCUUCAAGGAUUUUCAAGAUUAUAUUUAAAUGAAAGAAACGUCUAUAUUAAGUUACAAAUUCGUGCAUUUAGAUUCCAAAGAAAUUGAAGAAUCAUAGGAACUAUCUUGAACCAGAAAAGAAGUGACUUUUAGCAUCCCCACGAAUAGACUUUUCAACACGACCACAUUGCUUUGAAAUUUUGAGUAGGAAAGUCAAAAAGGAGAUCCAUAAAUUGCUUUGAAAUUUUGAAUUGAUAACCCAAUGAUAUAUUAUUUUAUAUCUAAUAUGUCUCAACAUGUCUCAUAAUUUAGUUGAAGUGACACCAAAAUUCUACACCUUAAAACUCUAAAGCACCAAAUUUGACUUCCUUGUUUACUCUUUAAUUAUUCCAAUUUACUAUUUUUACUUUUAUUUGACAAAACACAAAGUUUUGUUUGAUUUUUGAUCUAAAUUAAACUAACUUAAUGUAUGUUAAUGUAAACAAAAAUCGAAUUAGGUUUUUUGAAUAUGAAGAAGAUAUUAAGGCAGCCAAUUUCAUUUAUUGAUCAACUUUAAUUCCUUAAUCAAGAAUCCGAACUAAAUAUCGUGUUUGGUCUAAUACUUCUAAUGUAUUAGAUUUAUCUAUCUUAAGUUCAAAUUGAUUCUAUUCCAUAUCUUUAUGUGAAUCAUGAUAUACUAAACAUUAAAUUUUUAAGAAUUCAUUUAAUAACUGCAUUAACUGUAAAAUGUAUCUUUAUACUAGAAUCUUGAAAAUUGAAUGAACAAGGUUUCCAUAAACUACAUCAUUUGCCCUAACAGAAAGUUUAGUUUCGCAUAUUGAAUGAAGAAAGGCAAAAUUAUUAGUGAAUAAAUCUCUAGAUUUUGAAUGAAGAUGUAGAAAAGUGUAUGAAUCUUGCACCAAGAUCCUCUUCAAUCAACGCUUCAAAUCCUGGACUUGAUAUCUUGAUUUAUUGCUUUUCUUCUAUGUGUUUCUCUCUAAUUCUUAAUUUGUGGAACAUUUUUUCCUCUCAGUCAAGUCUUUAUGCAGUAUUAUAAUUUUAGAAUAGUUCCCAUCGAAAAAAAUACAAAUAUUUGCAGUUUACCCUACAAUUUUCCAAAGCUUCCAUUUUGGUCCCCAAAAUUGCCAAUUAUCAAUUUUUUUAUCCUUAUUCUUUUGAAUUCAUUCAAUUUCUCAAAACAUGUUUCAAUCGAUUGAUUUCAAUCUCAGAUGGUCUUCAGGUGUUCAAAUUAUUCUCCAAUCAAGUUCAAAUCACCACUUUUUGCAUCAAUCAAACUCAACGUUGAUCUUUUCCUACAUAUCACAUAAUUAGGCAGCAAUCCACUCAAAUUAAUCAUAAUUUAUCAAGAUUAAGAGCAAAAAUAAGCAUAUAAAAUACACUUAUCAACACCAUAAACAUAAACUUUUGUUUGCCUUGAACAAGAUUAUCAACCCAAUACACAUGCAUGCAACAAUUAGCAAGUUAGAUAGUCUAUUGUAUUUGCUUUAGGAGUCGAAACUGUGACUGUCCAAAGUUAACACCACCUCGAUGAUUGAGACAUGGUGAGAAAAUUGGGACUUUUCUGUCGAUUGGUUCUUCUUCUAGAGUGGGUAUAUCUUCUUCUGCAUUCUCUUCCUUUGCUUCUACUACCAAUCUCCCUUGCUUGUGCCGAUUUAUCUGUGACUUUGACUAUCUCGUUAUUGUAAGGCAUAUAAGUGGUGUCACCUUUUUUUUCUACUUCAAAUAGUGUCAUAGGUACUCCAGCUCUUUUCCACAAUGCAGAAAUCAAACUAGGCAUUGUUAGUUUUGUGUGAUCUCUAGGAAACAUAGGACGAUCCCUGAUUGUGUUGAUGAUGAUUUAUCCAAAAUUAAGUUGUAUCUCAUGGCUAGUUUGUACAGAAACGUAAUCUUUAAUAUAUAAAUUACAGUAAUACAGUAUUGUAUAUUGUUGGGAUCAUGUUGCUUGAGAGAAAAUGAUGGAAGAUACAUAGUUCAUCAUUCAUAUUUCCAUGAUCAACUAUGUUGGUGGUUGGCCAACCUUAGGCUUGGCCCUUGAAUAUACGAAUUGCGCUACUGUGUCCUAAUCAAUGGUCUUAGUACUUUAGACCUUUCUUCAAUAUUAUAAUACACUUGAACACACAUAUGUUUUAGAUAGUCCUCGCUUUCUUCCUCUAUAUCAUCUACAUUGAAGCUACACAUGAAUUCGCUUUCUACGUAUGUGUAAACCUUAUUGGGUUUAGCAUACAGUUUGGUCCACCCCUUUUCCCUGACAAUGUUCAGUAUGUUCAUGAGUUGGAUUUGGUCUAGUUGCACUCCCUGUGAAUAAGAGUCCAAUUAUUGAAUAUAUCUGCACAUUGUGCUAGUUCCUAAAAAAUAUAAGUUUCAUAAGACAAAAGCUCGAAUUGAGCCCCCUUUCUAGUGCUAGAGGACUCGAUAAUUCCCUUUCGCUUAUUUGCUCUAAAGAUUGUUGUUCUUGGAGGUAUUGUAAAUGAGUUAUAUCCUACAAAUGUAAAUAAGAUGUUAGGCCAAAUUAUAUUUCAUCAACUUGUAUAAGGAAAAUAUGUAUUAAUGAUAUAUGCAAGGAUGAAGUGAAUAACGUGACUCAAUUGAAAUUUUCAUUAUGUGUGAGGAUUGUGGAGUGGACAAACACCCCCAAACUUAAUGUGAUAUAGUAGCACAAGAGUAUAGGGUUAUAGUAGCUAAAAUUGAAUUGAAAACCUUUUAACUAACACUUGAUGUAUAAGGGAAAUUCUUAGGUCUAAUCCAUUCCUCUCUACAUAAUUGAUAUAUUACACUUGGAACAAUAAGGAAUUAUGGGUAAAAAUUGACAAACACCUAGUUGUAGACUUUCAACAAACACAUUGUGUGCAAAAAAAAAGUUCCAACCAAAAUCCACUAAUUAUCAAUUCUCAAACAAGACCCACAUUCUUCAAUCUAACAUCCUUAAAUCCAAUCCCAACAAACUCCAAUUCAAUGUUUUCCUACAACCAUUUGAAAAAUAAGUUUUUUCAAAAUAGUAGAAAAAUUCAAAAAGUUAUAAACUUACCUUGAAGAUUAUGAAUUAAGUGAAAGUGGAUUUAAAAUACUCUUCUUUUGAUUAAAUCAAAUAAUUUUCCUUGCAGAGUAAGAGAUAAAAGAAGAUUUCUAGUCGUGAAGGGUAGAGUAGUUAGGGUUUUGUGAGGAGAGAAUGAGAAUAUUUCAGGGAAAAGUGAAGAUGAUUAUGAUUUUGAAAGUCUCAUAUUUUUAUGUUGUCAAAUAUUUAUUUUUUAGUAUUUAGUUUAGCCAGUAACAAAAAUAAGAAAAGAAAAGGUCAAAGUUAAAAGGCCUGGAUAUGGUCGUUAGUUGGAAACCUUCUUAUUCUUCUUCUUCUUCUUCUUCUUUUUUUUCAUUUUUUUUAUAAUUUGAAAAAACGUGCAUAUGCAUUCCUAAGUGCUAUAUACAACGUUAUUAUGAAAAAAUUAAAAAGAUUAUAGUUUAAAAUUGCAUUUUCUCUCUUUAGUCCUUGUUUUAUAGUCUUUUAGUUCGACUUUAGCCACAAUCAUUCUGGAACGGCCAUAUCAAGGGUAUCUUUCGUUGUAUGGAAGUCCUCUACAAAAUGUUUGACACUUUGUCCAUUAACUUUGAAGUUUCCCUUUAUUGGAUGAUAAAUUCAAUUGUACCAUAGGAAAUUACUUGAGCUACCAUAAAAGAUAUAGACCAUCUUGAUUUUGGCUUUUCCGAAAGAAGUUUCAAUAUGGAGUUGUACAAGAGAACUUGGUCCCCAUUUCUGAAAACUCGUUGCUGAAUGUUUUUUUCAUGCCAUUGUCUUCUUUAUAGAUAUCUACACUAUAACUGCAAUAUUCUUGUUUUCCCAGCGUUUUCUAAAUCUAUAUUCAGCUCCUUCAGUGUCCAAUAUGCUUUAUGCUAGAAUUCCACGGGUAAAUGACACGUAUUUCCAAAUGCAAACCAGUAUGAUGAAAUCCCAAUCGGUGUCUUUAAAGCAGUACGGCAUGCCCAUAUUGCAUUAUCUAACUUUUUAGACCAAUCAUUAUGAGAUGCAUUCGCACUAAAUUCUAAGAUCCUUUUAAAUUGUCUAAUCAAAGUCUAAGUCUGUCCACGUGUCAAAGGAUUAUUUUUUAAGAGAAGCUCGAACAAUCUAUUUUUUGUACUAUGAUUCACACACUGAAUUGACCACUACUGCAUUUGCUCCAUCUGUUAAAGAUUUUAUUAAUAACUCCAUUUGCUUUGUCAAAACAAGAAUAUGCACAUUGGUAGAUUUCAUGUUGUCCAACUCAUUAAUUCCAUUUGCUAUCUUUGGCACUACUGUUUCAGAUGAAAACAUGAAGUGUGUAGUUGUAAUCAACUACAAUAAUUCCAAAAAAUUGUUGAACUAGUUUACUAAUAAUGGACCCGCUUGCUAAAAAUCUACCUAAGAUCUGAUGAUUUGGCCAUUGGUGAUUGUAUGGCAUAGAAAUACUCUGUUGAUUACCUUUGCUUAUCUCAUGAUUUGGACAAUUUCUCAUUAAAUCUUUGAAUAUAUUCCAACCUUUGUGGUAACUUUCUGCUUCACGUUGCUAGAAUGUAUGGAUUUCAUGUUGAACUUUUGUUACUUUUGUAGGUGGGAAGAAUUUAUUAUAGAAUUUCCUUGCUAAGUCCUCCCAAGUAGUGAUACUACUAUGAGGCUCAGAAUCCAACCACUCAAAAGCUACAUCUCUCAAUGUAUAUGAAAAUAAGUAUAUCUUGAUUACAUGUUCAUUAAUCCCUGUAAGCUGAAAGUUUUGGUAAUUCUGUAGAAAUCUUAACAUAUGUGUGUUCGGGAUUUCAAAAGUAAAUUCUUAAAACUCGAGGAUGUUGCUAUUCAAGUUAAUCCAAUUAGCACUUAUCUGAAAGUUAUUCUUCCCAAAAUCUAGUUAUACAAUACUGGAUAAGUCGAAUGCAGCUAUAGGAGUCAAGAACAUUGACAUUGAAAAGCCUCCUUCAUCUUUCUCAACUAGUUCGCCAUGUUGAAUUUUGGUUCCGCUAUCGUAACGGCUCCUUUGUGCAAUUGGCAAUCUCAAAAUAUUUUGCUCUUCUUCUAUCUGAUGUUCUUAUUUUUGUUUGUGCUCCUUAAGUCUUAGUUUAAAAGUAAGUUCUAUUUUUGGAUCAAAUGAUUCCAGAGUGUUGCCUUAAGAAUGGAGCACAUAACGAACACCUUUUUAUUUGUAAGAAAAAUAACUAACCAAGUAAAAAUAAAACAAUCAAGUAAAAGUAAAACAUAAAAUAAAUAGUCCAAGCAACGGUGCCAAAAUCUUGUUACCUUUUUCCUAUCGCAAGUGUACGAUAUCAAAAAAGUAAUAUAACGGACAUUUGAAUCCAGAUAAUCAUUCCCACAGAAGCUAUUUUUGUUCCUAGUUUAUAAUUUCUACUUCUAUUUUGCGAAAAAAAAAGUUUAGUUUGAUUGUUAUUCUAGAUUAUACUAAAUUAACGUAAUGUACAAAGAAAUUGAAUUAGGUUUUUGAAUAUGAAGGAGACAUUAGGGUUGACAAUUUCAAUAUUGAUCACCUUUAAUUCCCUAACCAAGAAUCUUAUCUAAAUGUUGUGUUCAGUCAAAUUCUUCUAACAUAUUCAAUUUACCUCUCUCGAUUCAAAUUGAUUCUACUUAACUAAGUAAAUUCCAUAUUUCUGUGUGAAUCAAGAUAUUCAUUGGCUAAAAGCAUUAACUUCCUGGAAUUCAUAUAACAACUGCAUUAACUAGAAAAGGCAUAUCUACGCUUUUAUACUAAUUUCCAGAUUGUACUACAUGGUCUAAACCUAUAACUUACCUCACGACAUGUUUAUAAGUUCACAAGAUCAUUGAAUUAUUGGCCAAGAAAUUGAAAUUAUUCAAUAUCAUAAAUAAAAUAAACACAAAUGAAAUUGAGAACAAGAAUCUUGAAAAUUGAAUUCAAGGGCUUCAGUAAAUUACAUUGUUUGCACUAACAAAAAGUUUAGCUACACGUAUUGAAUGAAUAAAAAAUAAAGAAUUAUUGUUGAAUGCAUCGUUGGGUUUUGAAUGAAUAUGUAGGAAAAUGGACGAACUUGCACCAAAAUCCCCUUCUUGUCCAAAUCAAAGCUUCAAAUCCUAGUCUUGAUAACUUGAUUUCUUACUUCUUCUUUUUAUGUGUUUCUCUUAAUUCUCAAGUUGUGGAUCCUGUUCUUCCUCUCAUCAAAGUCUUUAUAUAAUAUUAUACUUUUUAUAAGAGUUCCCUUUUAAAACAAGCUCAAAAGGACGAAAAGAAAAGAAAAACAUACAAAACUAAUCGGGCCACGGGUAGGCUGCAGGUUGCAAGCCAGUAGGCCAAUUGUGGCAUACAAGAUACAACAAUGGCUGCAAGUCGACUGCGGGUUCCACCUAGGGUCCACUUUUUCUUAUUUUCAAAUCGGCCCUCCAAUUUUCAAAACUUUCAUUGUGGUCUCCAAACUUUUUAAUUAUUAAUUUUUUUGUCCUUAAACUUUUGAAUUCAUCCAAUUGCUCCGAAACUUCUUUCAAUUGAUCUAUUUCAAUUGAUGAUCUUCAAGUUUCUAAAUUAAUCUCCAAUCAAGCCGAAAUCACCACACUCAACCUUGAUAUUUUCCUAAAAAUCACAUAAUUUCAGAUAAUUGGGUAGCAAUUCGCUCUAUCAUAAUUUAUCAAAAUUAAAGCCAUAAAUAAGCAUAUAAAACAUAUUAUUAGUCCAAUUUCAUUAGCUUGACACUACUUGUACUACUAGGAGGGUCGAUCAAAACUUUGAUAAAUAAUUGACUCUAUUUAUUUGACUUUUCAUAAGACCUUCAAUCUUUCGACAUUACUAUGUCUCAAUUUAAGUAACGCAUAACAUAACAUUUUGCAUCAUAUAAAAGGAUAUCGUUAAAGGAAAUUUGGUAGGAUUACCUCAAAAAUAUGAAACAAAUUUUGAUGACCACAAACAUCCUUUAACUGAAAAGGAAAUUGCUUGCGUGAAUCCAUAUCUACUAAUUCCAUUCAGAAAUUGAAAUAUUCAUUGUUGACAAUAUCCAUAAAAUAAUUGUCAUGUUUGAAGUUUCUUCAAUUAAGACGUUAUUCUAAAGUUUAAUUGUUUUUUUAAAUAUUGUGCAAAUGAGUUUUCUUUAUUUGGAGCAACGUGCAAAUUCGUCCAUCAUUUUGGCUAAAAUAAGAAAUUAUGAUCCAAGUACACAUCAUCAUCAUACAAAUUUAUGUCUCUAUUUAUAGACAACCACAUGUUUUUUACUUGUAUUUUCAGCGGGGAAAAUAUUGAAAUCAAAGAAUCUUAUUCGUAUCAAACAAGUGUAUGGUUAGAAAACUAUGUCCAGUGGGCUAAAUCACAUUUUUGUUCGGAACUAUGAUCAAAAUGAAGUUAAUAAUACUCUGUUGUUUUUGUAGUAUCAAAUGACAAAUCUCAAGUUUAUUUGACUUAAAUCAAUGAGAUUGAUGGUUAAUGUUAGUCCUAAUCAAGUUCAUUUUACUUCGUUGUCUUCAUAAUGUCAUUUAUGUAAUUGAACAAGAAAUUAAUUCAUUUGUAAUAUCAUUAAUAUAGUAAUACAAAUGUAUGUGUCGCUGAUAUGUUGAAAUAGAAUAAUUCAUGGAGAAACUAAAAUAUAUAGACAAAUAUUACGAAAUUUAUUGAUUUGUGUAUUUUAUACACUUAUCAGAUCCUAAAAUAGCGAUAUUUGAUAGUUCAUUUGACAAAAAUAUAUCAUAAAUUGUUGUAUUUUAUGUCAUACAAGUAAAACUCAAUGGUUGAAUGAAGAGAAAUUGAAAGAAAGAAGCAAGAGGAAUUGAAAGAAAGAAGAAAAAAUUGGUGAAAAAUGUGAAAUCCAAAGUAUGGGGACUAAAUUACAAUAUUCUAAUAGCUGAUUUGGACCAUGAAAUGAAGAUUAAAAAUGUUCUGGGUUUAAUUGUAUGCAAUUGAAAAUUUAAGGAACAAAAUUACAAGAGAGAGUGGCUGAAAUGAAGUAAAAUUAAUGUUUGAAGACUAUAGUGCAAAUAUCGAAAACUUGUGUCAAACCUUAUGAUGAAGAUUCUAGAGUGUUAGGGGUCAAUAGGAGGAAAGAAGUCAAGGGGAUGAAAUAUAGUCAAAAUAUUAUCACAUAUCAACUUUCAAGUAAAAAAGUUAUGCUUCAGACUUUCAGUUUCUGCUUGAAACCAUUUUUGGCAUAGGAAACAUUCAAAUCGGAAAAAUUAUAUUUCUAGAAAAAUUUGGCCAUUGAGUUAUCUUUCCAACACACUUUGAAUCACUUCAAUAAGAUAUUCGGAGAGAAAGAUAUGACUAAAAUUCUAAAGUCUAUCUAACGGAAAGGAAAUUGAACUAUACAAUCGCAUCCUAACAUGCAGGGACAAACUUGGAGCUCAACAAGCGAACUAUGCAGUCGCAUCCUAAUGUACUAUACGAUCACAUAGUACAAGAUUUUGACAGAAUCUCAGAUUUCUUUAUACAAUUAAAACUCAACUUGGUAAGGUUUUGGGCAACAUCUUUGACCUAGAUACGAGUCAUACAUAUAUCAGAACAUCCUAUGUACAUUUAUUCAACAAAAAAACUCAAGAAUUUGAAACAAAUAUGUUGAAAAAGAGAGAAAAUUCAUCUUUGAGGAAGAUUUCAACCAAGGAAUUGCAAGAAGAUCAUCGACGAGACUUUAUACCAAGAAUUUUGCACAAAGAUUAAAAGGAAACCUCAAAAGUUAUCAAGAAUCCAUCAUUUUCUUUAGUAUUCAAAUUCUAGGUGAUGUUUAUUAAACAUAGAAUGAUUUCUUGUAAAUUCAAUAUGUUUGGCUAGAUAUUUGCAUUGCUAGGAUGAGAAGAACACUUGUUAUGAGAUUUUUGGUAUUAAUUAAUUAUUUUGACGUUUAGUAUGUAUGUUUUCUUGGAUGUUUGUUAUUGUUUUCACCGACUUCUCAAUUGAUUAGCUACUAAUUGGGAUGAUUUAUUGGAAUCUAUUGUUAUUGAGAGAGAUAAUAAGUUUUUACCUAAAAAUAAUAAAUAUUGUAAGGUUUGAUAAUAUCUAUACUUUACAUGGUUUUCAUAGGUAUUCUAGAUCAUUUAAUGCAUUUAUCAUGUUCAUAUCUUUUAUCGAGAUAUAGGAAAGUCACAUGAGGGCAAUAAAUUUGAUAACUAUCGAGAGAUGUUUUUAAUUAAAUUAGGAAUAUUGAUCAACAAUAAUGACUACAAAUUGUCGCUUUAUUUUGUUGUGCUUAAAUUGGAUUAGCAAGGGAGAUUUGACAUCCUAGCAAUACUUUCACAUAUUUGAAAAACUAGUUAAAUUGCUUCUAGUUUGAUUUAUAACUUAAGUAUUAGUAUAGAAAACUCAAAACUUGUUCCUAUUCGAUUAAGGCUAUUAUUAACUUGAACUCAAUCAAAUACUUAAUCCUUUUGGGUUUGACACUCUACAUAUUACUAUAUUACUUGUUCAUGAUCCCGUCCACUUACAAGGAAUCAAACGACCAUGGAUAGAAAUUGAUCCUACAAAAUAUGUAGGUAAAAAUUUGUUUGAUAAUCUUAGAUUAUAUUUUCAAAUUUUCUCAAACAUGCGUUAACUUUUUAGCAGAAAAGCUAAAGGCUAAGCACGGUUCAUGUCAAGUUUGGACUAAAGUGUAGAAACCCAGGAAUAAGACAUAUCUUGGAUAACCUUUGUUCACUCGACUACUCAAGUCUGGCACGAUCUACUUGCACAUGUUGUUUGAUUAAUGACAAAAUUUGUUUCCAAUUUCAAUUGAUCCACCUCGAACUUGGUUAUUUGGCCCAUUUUUACACCCCUAGUUGGCAAUAACUUGUUUGUUAAAUGUUAAUAACUCCACAAAACUUGAAAUUACCUCUCAAAAGUAAUUCUAUGUGUUACAUGAAGAAAUGAUUAACUUUCGCAAAAUAAUUCACUAUUUCUUGAUCUAUUGCCAUUGGCAUUGGCAAACUCCAUGAUUUUUUUAGUUGUUUGGUGUAUCUUCAUUUCAUAAGAGAACCAAAAUGAUAGGAAAAGAUGAUUAUCACCUUUCAUUGUUGUGUUUUAAUAUUUACCUAAUGCAUUAUUUUAGUCAAAAGCACCUAUGAAAUUAUUUUAGUUGAACAGUAACCAAACAACUUAGCAUUUCUAUUAGGUAUUUUAAUAUCAAAUAAACUCAGGACAAUAAUGAAAAAUCAGGUCGGAUUAAUUUCAUAGGAUUUGAGCCAAAUUAUUGAACAUUGUUUAAAGAUUGACCUCAGUAAUAAUUGGCGGGCCAUAAUCGAGAUGGAUGGAGAAUCCCACAAGUGUCAAUUAGAGGCAACUAGGGCUUGACCUAUUUAAUAUUUACUUGGGCCAUUUAGAUGACCUACCCUCUACUGUUUGAGAUAAAGAUACGCUACAUACGCUGCUUUCCUUCCUUACCUCUUACUGCACAAUUCUCUUUGGUUUUCUUUGUGACCUUAGCCCUACAACCGGUAGCCCCUGUUUGCGGGCCGUUGGGAUUCUUGGGUCCAAUUGGUUAUGUGAACAAAUAGAAAUCUCCGCUCAAAUGUAUCUAUCAAGGAAUGCAUAAUUAGGAAAACUUAGCACUCUCUAGAAUCCACCAAAAGAGAUGCAUGAAUUUAUAGAGAAUGAUUAGUACCUCUCAAAUUAAAGUAGAUUAAUAUUCAAAUACUUUCGUUUCUACCUUCAAGGCUUAGAAGAGUGUGAUUUAAAUAGUCGAGACUUGGAACAACCUUCCAAACAUAGGCAUUUUCGUAAGAAUUCUGAUAGGCCCUUGUCAAAUACACCUAUUCUAGAAGGGUCAAGAAGGCGGUAGAGGACUUGGGUAAGUGUAAGUGUACAAGCAGCCUUCCACCCUAUAUCCUUGGAGGCAUAACCUGCGAUUUAUCUCCCUCACGAUGCUCCAGGGCAGGGGCGGUGGGGGACCCUUAAGGUUGGGGUUUAACCUUUUAAGAAGGCGGUAGAGGAGUAACAAAUUCUGUUGAGCAAAGAUGACAUGGCUAGAGUUAGUUACAGAUGAUGGUUAUAAAUAGAAUAGAUGCAUGGAGUCAAGGGAUAUGGAAAAAGUUUGUAAGCAAGUCUUAAUAGGAAAGUCAGGCCCUCUCGAACGGCCUCUACCAGUUACUGUGUUUGAGUUGUAUUUCUCAUUCAAUCAAUACAAUUAGUUUUCUCUUCCUAUUUUUCUCUUAUUUUUCCUUGAUUUUACAGUAGGACCCUAUCAUUGUGGCAUUAAAGCACCCUGUUCCUUUCGCAGUCAUGACUCUGGUGGACUAAGUAAGUGUGUUGGAACAAAAGGUGGACUGUAAUCAUCGUCAACUACAAACUAACCUGGAGGUAUUAUGAUUAGAGUUUCAUUCAAUGCAUACAGGCAUUAUGGAGAAGGUGGAUGUGCUGCUACAAGAUUGGGCAAGCCAGGAGAGAGAUUGCAAGGAAAAGGAGAUGGUAAAAUUACUAGCAUCAUCUGUCGAGUUUGGGCCAACCUAUUCCAGACCAAGUAGAAGCCAAUACAAGGGAGAUGGAGCUCUAGGAAAUUGGAGAGAAGAGUGGUGCGUAAGGCAUUUGGAUAUGCCUGUGUUCGACGACACGAAAUCAGAUGGUUGGAUUUUAGGGUGGAAAGAUAAUUUGGGAUCAACACGAUGAUCAAAGAAGAGAAGAUGGAUGCCGUUGUCGUAUGUUUGGACAAAGAGGCGUUAAUCUAGUUUAAAUGGGAGGAGAAAUGGUGGUCGAUUCGAAACUGGGAGGAGAUGAAGCUAAGGCUGCUACGACAUUGUCGAGCUUCACAAGAAGGGAAGUUGUGUGUCCAAUUUUUGGUAGUUAGGAAAGACACCACAAAAAGGUCUUAUCACCAGGGACUUGAAAUGUUGGUUGCACCCAUUGAACGGUUUAUCGAAGAAAGUGCUAGAAGAAAGUUCUAUGAAUGGGUUGAAGCCAAAAUUGAGGACAGAAGUCCAAUUAUAUAGGCUUUCUGGGCUGGAAAAAUGAUGGAAAUAGCCCAGAUGGUGGAAGAAAGAAAUUGAGUCGUAAAGGUUGGACAGUGGAGCCUAGGUCCAACAAAAUCUAAAGCAAUCACUCCUCCUAAUCCAAACUCCUCCUAAAGUCUUAACCCAAUACCCAAGCCCACCAUCCCUCUUAAUAUCAUCCUAAAUCAUAUGGCCGUCCCUAGUUUAUUCCCAAAACAGACCGUUCCGUUCAAACGACUCACAAAUGUCGAGGUACAAACUAAGCGUAAAAGGGGAUUAUGCUAUCGAUGUGAUGAAAAGUUUACGAUCGGCCACCAGUGUAAGAAUAAGGAGCUCCAAGAGCUUGUGAUCAGAGAGAUAAAAGUCACGUCGGAGGAAGAGUUGGCACACGACAGCAGUGAGGAAAGGGCUGUAAUUGGGAACACCGAAGUAGAAAAGGCUGAAGUAAAUCAGGCCAUUGAGCUGUCAAUUAACUCGGUUGUUGGACUCACCACUCUGGGAACGAUGAAGCUGAACUGUAAACUCGGCCAAAGGAGGUAGUUGUACUUAUUGAUAAUGGAGCAUCCCAUAAUUUUGUCAGUUCUGAAAUUGUUCAAUACCUGGGCAUUCCUUCGUCUGGAACCCUACGGUAUGGAAUGAUUAUGGGGAUGGAUCUCACUGUAAAAGGAGAAGUUGUAUGAAAACAGAUAUCUCUGAAGUUACAAAACAUGCUGGUGGUAGAGGACUUUUUACCCUUGGGGUUAGGGAGCUUGGAUGUCAUAUUGGAGAUGCAGUGGCUGCAAAAUUGGUAAGGAUGCAAGUAGAUUGGAAUACUUUGACGAUGACUUUCAACACAGCAGGAACCACGAUGACCCUUCAAGGAGACCAAAGUCUAAGUAAAACUCCAGUGUCACUAAGAAUGAUGUGAAAGUUUUUAGAGAGCAAGGAGAAGGGCUCUUGUUGGAAAUGGAAAAAAUCAUUAUUGAGGCCAAAAGAGCGCCUGAGCCACAAAAAAUCAUUGUCGAGGUAUUGAAGGAGUUUUCUACAUUUUUCGAGAAUAGCAGUAAGUUGUCCCCCCUCAUUGAGCUCAUGGCCAUUCUAUCAACCUACAAUCAGGAGCAGGCCCAAUUUGCACGAGGCCGUAUAGAUACCUGUAAUUCUAGAAAAAUGAAAAAUUGAGAAUUUAGUACCAAAAAUGCUUUCUAUAGGAGUUAUUUAGCAUAGCACAAGUCUAGUGCUCCUUGUGAAGAAAAAGGACGAGAGUUGGAGGUUUUGUAUUGACCAUCUGGCAAUGAUCAAGGUGACCAUUGUAGACAAAUUCCCAAUUUCUGGUCAUUGAUGAGCUGUUGGUUGAGCUACAGGGAUCAACCAUUUUUUUUGAAAAUUGAUCUAAAAUCAGGGUAUCAUCAAAUUAGGGUGAAGACUAGAGACAUUCCAAAAACUGUAUUCCACACUCACGAAGGCCAUUAUGAAAUCCUAGUUCUGCCAUUCGGCCUAAAAAAUGCAUUGGCAACCUUCCACCCUUUGAUGAACGAUAUAUUCAAGGUGCAAUUCUGAAGAUUUGUUCUAGUCUUUUUUGAUGAUAUUUUAGUUUAUAGCCGAACAGUAGAGGAGCACCAGGAGCAUUUGAGAUGGGUAAUACAACGGUUAGCAAAAUAUCAUCUAUUUGCCAAUAAAAAAAAAUGCUUGCUUGGUCAGAAAGAGCUAGAAUACCUCAAUCACAUAAUUUUAGGAAAGGGGGUAGCAGCUGAUGCAUCUAAAGUGGCCGCAACGGUAGCUUGGCCGUGACCAAAGUCCCUUAAAGAACUACGGGGAUUCCUUAGUCUAACAAGGUACUACCUGAGGUUUAUAAAAGCAUAUGGGAAGAUAGUGUGGCCACUAAUGCAACAAUUAAAGAAGGAUAACUUUGGAUGGAGUGAUGAGGUGGAGGCUGCUUUUGAGAGUGUGAAGAAGGCCAUGGUUUUGGCCCUAGUAUUGGCGCUUCUGAAUUUUUCAAACCUGUUUGUGAUCAAACCAAUGGAUUCAACCAUGGUUUGGGGGUGGUUUUGGUGCAACAUCAAAGACCCAUCACCUAUUUUAGUCAAGCUCUUCCAUCUCGAGUCCGUAGUAAGUCCAUUUAUGAAAUAAAGUUGAUGGCAAUCAUAUUUGCUGUGCAAAAAUGGAAGCACUAUCUGACUGGGAGGCAUUUUGUAGUCCAAAUUGAUUAGAAGAGUCUCAAAUUCUCAUUGGAACAACGACUAGUGAAUGAAGAACACCAAAAGUGGUUAACUAAGCUGCUGGGAUUUGAUUUUGACAUAGAAUACAAGCCUGGUUGGAAAAUAAAAUAGCAGAUGCCCUGUCCUGCAUUAAGUUAGCUACAACCUUGAUUACUCUUAGCAUACCAUGUGUACUACAGCAAGAUGACUUAUCAAAGGCAGUGAAGAAAGAUCCAGAGUUAACCCAAAUUCUCACAGCAUUACAAGCUGAUCUGUCGUCAUGCGUAGGGUUUGCACUGAUUUGGGGUGCACUAUUAUAUCAUGAAAAACUUGCCCUUCCUAAAGAUUUUCCAUUUGUGUUGUUAGCAUUACAAGAGGGACAUGAUAGCAAAAUUAAGUGUGAUGGGGGUUUCCUCAAGACAUAUAAAAGGAUAGCCAAAACAUUCUAUUGGAGAGGCACGAAGAAGGACAUUCGGGACUAUGUGGCAGCUUGUGCCACUUAUGAACAGAACACAUAUUCUACUCUCAUGCUUGUAGGGCUGCUUCAACCUUUAACAGUGCCAGAGGGAGUUUGGGAUGAUAUAUCCACGGAUUUUAUCGAAAGGUUGCCAAAAUCAGAUGGUUUUAACUCAAUCUUGGUAGUUGUGGAUCGUUUGAAUAGGUAUAUCACUUUGCGGAUCUCAAAUACCCCUUCUUAGUACCUUUUGUGGUGAUAGUUUUCAUUAAGAAAUAGUUCGAUUGCACGGCAUGCCACGAUCGAUAAUCUUUGAUCAUGACAAGGUGUUUGUCAGCAAAUUUUGGAGUGAGCUCUUUCAGUUGCAAAGCACUAAGCUAAGGUUGAGUUCAGCCUAUCACCCGUAAAUCAACUGUCAAACAGGGGUAGUCAACAGAAGCGUCGAAACAUAUUUGCGUUGCUUUACUUUUGGCAGGCUCGAGGAACGGUUUCAUUUUCUAUCAUGGGUGGAACUGUCUUAUAAAACCUCUUUCCAUGUGUCAACUCAAUUAACACGAUUUCAGAUCUUGUAUGGCCGGGAUCACCACCAGUCAUCCAUUUUGAGAAGGGGUCUAUCGUGGUAUCAUCACUUGAUCACCAGCUGCUAGAACGAGAUCAGUUAUUGGAUGAGCUAAAGAAGUAUUUGCAGCGAGCUCAACAAAAGAUGAAAGCUGCAGCUGACCAGCAUAGGAGGGUUGUUGAGUUUGCAAAUGGAGAGCUAGUCUAUCUGAGAAUGAGGCGCUAUCGUCUUAAAUCAUUAGCACAAUGUUUGAAUGAAAAGCUUGCUCCCAGGUACAAUGGGCCUUUGUAAGUGUUAGCAAAGGGUGGGCCAAUAGCUUGUAGACUGAAACUACCACUUGAAUCCUAAAUUCAUCCAGUCUUUCAUAUCUCUCAACUCAGAAACGCUGUGGGAAAAUUCCAUCUACUCUCCCACAAAAGCUAGGAGUAGAUUGGGAGUUAAAGGUAAAACUUGAAUCUCUAUUGGGAAUUCGUUCUGUACCAUUGGGCGAUAUUGAUAAGAUGGAGGUACCGAUUAAAUGGAUUGGGCUAUCACCAUUGGAAGCAACUUGUGAACCUUUUGAGUUCAUUAACCAACAAUUUCCUUCUUUCCACCUUGCGAACAAGGUGACUAAAUUGGGCGGGGUAAUUGAUAGGUCCCCUAUCAAAUACACCUAUUCUAGAAGGGUCAAGAAGGCAGUAGAGGAGUAAAAAAGUUCUGUUGAACAAAGAUGACAUGGCUAGAGUUAGUUACAGUUGGGAGUUAUAAAUAGAAUAGAUGCAUGGAGUCAAGGAAUAUGGAAAAGGUUGUAAGCAAGUCUUAAUAGGAGAGUCAUGCCUUCUUGAACGGCCUCUACCAGUUAUUGUGUUUGAGUUGUAUUUCCCAUUCAACCAAUACAAAUAGUUUUCUUUUGCUAUUUCUCUCCUGUUUUUCCUUGAUUCUACAGUACGACACUCUCAAGUUCUUAUAAAUUUUCCAAGAUCAAAUUUAAAUGAAAGAAAUAUGCUUAUUAAUUUAUAAAUUCAUGCAUGCAUAUUCCAAAGAAAUUGAAGAAUCAUAGGACCUAUCUUGAACCUGAAAAGAUGUGACUUUUAGCAUUCUCACAAUUAGAAUUUUGAACAUGACCAUUCUAAAGGAAUACAUCGACAACUUUGCUCACGAAAGUCAAAAUCAAUAUCCAUAAAAUGCUUUGAAAUUUGUAAUUAAUAACCAUUCCAAUGGUAUAAUAUUUUGUAUCUAACAUGUCACACGGUUUCCAAAAUUUUAUAACACAAAAAUUCUGCACCUUAAAAAUCUAAAGAAUUGAUAAAAGAAAUUAGACUUCUUUUGUUUGAAGUUUUUAAAUAAAAAUAAAGCAGUGAGCCAUGCCUUAAUUUCCGCCUAUUCUACCUAAGUAAACUUUAAUUACUCCUCAUCGUGAAUCUUAAUGCAUAAGCUUGACCCUACUUGACUACUAGUAGGGUCGAUCAAGACUUUGGCACAUAAUCAACUCUACGACUUUUUGAUCAUUAUUCAUUUGACUUUUCUUAAGAUUGUCAAUCAUUUGACACUGCUAUGUCUCAAUUUAAGUAACGUAUAACAAAAGUUUUUAUAUCAUAUAAAAGAGAUCGUUAGAAGAAAUUUGAUUGGAUUACCUCAAGAAUAUAAACCAAAUUUUGAAGACAAACAAACUCCCUUUAAUUGCAAAUGAAAUUGCUUGUGUAAGGCCAUAUCUAUGGAUUCUAUUCAGAAAUGGAAUUAUUCAGUGUUGACAAUAUCCAUAAAAUAAUUGUCAAGUUUGAAGUUUCUUCAAUUAAGAUGUUAUUCUAACUACUUAAUUGUAUUUUAAAUAUCGUACACGAGUUUCCUUGAUUUGAAAAAAUGUGCAAAAGCAGUCCAGCAUUUUGUCUAAACUAUGGAAAUAUAAUCCAAACCAGGCAUCAUCAUACAAGUUUAUAGUUAGAAAACUAUAAAGUAUGUCCGGUGGGCUAAAUUACAUUUUAGAGCCCAAAAUGAAUUUAUAAUAUUGUAUAUAGGUUCGUUAUUUCGUUGUUUUCAUAGUGUAAAAUUACGCAUCUCAAGUUUACUAGCUCGACUCAAUUAAUAAGGUUGUUAGUCAACGUCGUUUCUAAUCAAGUUCAUUUUAGUUUUAGUUUUCAUAAUGUCAGUAACGUUAUUGAACAAAAACCUAAUCUCGGACUUAUGAGUCAGGUUUUAACCCUCAUUUGUACUAUCAUUAAUGUAGUAAUACAAAUGUAUGUAUCACUAACAUGUUGACAUAGAAUAAUUUGUGGAGAAACUAAAAUAAAUAGAACAACUUGAUAUUGAAAUUGUUAGGUAUUUUGAUGCCAAAUAAACUCGGGGUGAUGAUGACUCCUCGAAUAGGAUUAAAAUCAUGUGAUUCAUUUGGAAUCUAUUAUUAAGACUAUAGUUAAUAGUCGACCCGAAACACAAACUGAACGCCCACGAAAGAGGUUGCAAGGAGUAUUACAUUUAGGGCCUGACCCUGUGCCCCCUCCCACCGCUUCCCUUGCCGUUGUGACAUGAACAGAUAUUACACACAAUUUAACCUUCGAGCCCCAUUUUAAGAGAAACUUACGGCUACUUCCUUGUGAUCCAUCUUCUUCUCUCCAUUUUUGGAUCACCAUUACCUACCUUGUGGUUGGCACUUUGGCCGUUGUGUUAGGUGUAAUAAAAAAUGUAGCAAUAUAGAACAAAAGUGAACAAGAAGAUGAAUACAAACGAAAGAAAACUUGAACAUGAAAAUAAUGUCGUUGUCCUUAAAUGAUAUUUGCCUCCUUCAUAAUGCUCUUAAGGAUUAAAAUGGCAAAUUGUUUGUAGGAUUAAUCAAGCCUCAAGAAGAACACUAAAAGCAAAGUAUUCUUCAAAUGAACAAGUGAAAAAGAAGAAUUUGAUUAUGUAGAGGUACAAAAUUUCAUAUAAAAUUGGAUGAAUAGUAGAGUAAGUUUUUCAUGUAUUUUUGGAAUAAACACAAUAUAUAUUUAUAGAUUUUUAUCAUCCUUACACGAAAAGGUUCCAACUCAAAUGAAUAGGUACAUGGAUUCACCAAGAAAACUACCAGAAAUUCGAAAAAAAAUUCCAGCCAAUGAUCAUAUUUUUCAACUAUGCGACCACAUAGGCUAUAGCUAUCCGAUCGCAUAGUUAUAGCUUUGGCCACCUCCAAUAUUUCUACAAUACCACAUGGGACCACAACCUUUAGAUGCUUAUGCGGUCGCUUAGACCAUUUUGUGGCCUAUUUGUUUUUUCUUUUCUAAAUUCAUCCACUCAUUUGAUAUUUUGAAUAACCAAUUUACGACAAUCUCCCACUUGUUCAAAAUCACUAUAAAUCACAUAAUCAAGUAUCAAUGCUCAUGCAUAAGUAUUAGAUGUCUUUCGAUUUGAAUCUAACCAUAGUGUAAAUCUCUUAAAGCAUUAUCAAAAUUCCAAGUACCUAUAACGCUUUGAACCAGUUUUUCUUGUGACAAUAACGAUGAAAUCACACUCACAAAUGUUAAAAUUUUCACAAGUUCCUCUAACUUACUUAGUGUUAAUAUGACCUUGCACUUUUCCUUUUUCAUUGAACCUUUAAAGAGAAAAAAAUUUCAAUUCUCUAAUGAGUCGGCAUCACCUUGAAGUUCACAUAGUUGUAUCUUUGUUACUUUUAAAGAUACUUUGUACCAUCCAUCCAACAGUAACAACCAAUACUAUUUACCAAAGAUAGGGUUUAACAAUUUAAAAGUGUUGAAAUCUAUCCACUUAUCAAAUGAUUUGUUAUUACCCCUUGAACCUAAAUAUACUUAUUUAGUAUACUUUUGCUAGGGUUGCUAUCAUUGGUGGACCUAUUUAAGGAGUUUCAACCCAUCCUGCUUGAUGUCAAUCUUACUAAUUCUCUCGUGAGAUGUUUAGUAAAUGGGUAAGCUAAGUUCUCACUAGACUAAACAUAUGUAAAAGAAACUAUUCCAUGAUUGAUUGAUUUCCUUACAUACUCGUGUCUUAGACUCAUAUGUCUAGACGUUCCAUUAUACACUUCGUUAUAUGUUUGAGCAAAAGUAGGUUGACUAGCACACAAAAUAGGUAUUAAAGAAAUAUCUUUUAUAUCUAAAGGAAUUUCAUAUAACAGAUCUCUUAGCCACUCACCUUCUUUUCCAGUUUUGGCCAGUGCUACAAAUUCUGACUCCAUGUUGAGAGAGUACUGCAAGUUUGUUUCUUAGACAUCCAAGAAACUACACCUCCUCGAAGAGUAAAUAUGUAAUACCCCCAAAUCUAGAUACCUAGAUUUUGAAGUAUUAUCAUUUCAUUUCCUCUUAAAACCAUAAAAGUGGAGGCGAUUAAAUUUUUUCUUUAAUACGAUGAACAUCAUUGACUUCAUUUAUAAACAUAACUUGUAAAAAACUUUUGUACUUAAAUAAAAAAAUAAGAUUAAAUGUUAAUUUUACUUUCUAAAAGAAGUCAACAUUAAAUGUCUUAAUACUGAAUUUAUCACAAAUAGUCAUCUCGAAUCAUCUUGUCUUCAUCAUCUGAAGAUGGAGAGGGAUUACGUGGGAUGAGCUAAAGCUCAGUAAGAACACCUCAUGUAUAUGAUUACACAUGAAUUACUUUAAGAUAAAAACAUUUUUCAAUAUGUAUCCCUUAUUUUCACUACUUUAAAAACUUGACAUUUUGAGCUCACUUGGUGUAUCGCCUAGCGAAACAAAAUGCAGUGGAUAAUUAUUAUUUGGAACCCGGUCGAGUCCUACCGGUAGUACCGUAAAGUGGUUAAAAUUAAUAUUGUCGUAGAACAUCGAUUGGGUGCGCGGGUCCCCUACGUCCCAUUUCCCACUCACACUUUUUAUGACAUAAACAUACACCUCGUAAUAAAAAUCUUAGGAAUAUAUAUCUUUAAAAAACAUUCAUUGACUCAUGACAUUUGAAAACUUUUUGUUCCUUGAAAUUUCAUGUAUGUUUAUGGAUAUAUUGACGUACAUGAAUAUGUCAUGAAAAACAUUAAUAACAUAAAAGGUAAUAAUCAAAUAUCAAGAUCACGUAAUAACAGAUUUUGGUAACAUAUAUAUAUAUAUAUAUUUAAUAAUGUAACGUGGGCAUGAAGCUUAUGGGAGGUUUACUUACCUGAAAUCCUUAACAAUUUACUUUUAGCAUACAAGAAAUGGAUGUUUGUAGCAGUCCACAAGAAGAACUUGCUGAAGAGUCAUAAAUCAAUACCAUUUAAUAAGAAAUUUUUAGAUACUUAAUGUUUAUAACUUUAUAGACAUCUCCUUAGAUAUCAAUACCCUAAUUUUUUUUUACAUAUUUAUUUAUAACUCGUAGAUAUACAAUUACAUAUGUAACAAUACAUUACAUAGACGAUUUUAAAUGGGAGCAAGCAAUAAACAUUGUGGUGUGCAAGUUGUGAAAAUAAGACUACAUGCCAAGGUUCAUUUACUUCAUUAUUUCACACUAACCAUAUAAUAAAUAGCAAUAAAUUAUGAAUAUAAACUAUUAAUUAUUCUAGAUGUAAACACAUAUAAACCAGAAUGUCUCCAUGUUCUAACUAUUAUUAAUAGAUAAUUUGUAUAAAUCUCAGCUUAUAAAUUCAUAACAUUUGAAUCUCAACAAUUUUCAGCAAAGCGUGUACAUAUUCACGUGGAUUCAUUUUUAUAUGAUUUUAUAAGGGAGAUUUAUAAAAUUAUCUAUUAAUAAUAGUUAAGACAUGGAGACAUUCUGGUUUAUAUGUGUUUACAUAAUCUUCUAGAAUAAUUAAUUGUUUGUAUUCAUAAUUUAUUGAUAUUUAUUAUAUGGUUAGUGUGAAAUGAUGAAGUAAACAAACCUUAGCACGUAACCUUAUUUUCACAACUUGCACGCCACAAUGUUUAUUGCGUGCCCCCUUUAAAAUUGUCUAUGAAAUAUAUUGUUAAAUAUGUAAUUGUAUAUCUACGAGUUAUAAAUAAAUAUAUUAAAAAAUAAGGGUAUCGAUCUUUAAGGAUAUGUCUAUAUGGUUAUACAAAUUAAGUAUGUCAGAAAUUUCUUAUUAAAUGGUAAUGAUUUAGGACUCUUCAGCAAGUUCAUUUUGUGCAUUGCUACAAACAUUUGCCUUGUAGGCUAAAAGUAAAUUGUUAAGGAUUUCAUGUAACUAAACAUCCCAUAAUCUUCAUGCGCACAUUACAUUGUUAAAUAUGUAUAUAUGUUACCAAAAUUUGUUAUUACGUGAUCUUGAUAUUUGACUAUUACGUUUUAUAUUUGUUAGGUUUUGAGUUGGCAAUCAAAUUGUAAAUGUUAAAAAAUUAAGGGUUAAAUUGUCAAUAUUUAAAUGUCAUGGGUCAAUUUUUUUGUAAAAGUAUGUUAGGGUUUGAGUUUGGGAAAAAGGGAAGAAGUGUCAUCAAAGUUUCGCUAGCUUCUCGCCAAGAGAUUGUUCGAGCGUAAAAAACAGAGACCUCGUCGCCAGCUCAUCGCCCUUGGCCUACUCAAGUGGAACAACGUCACUUGCUUUUUGCUAGAGUUUUGCUGGGGCGAUAGGUUUAUUUGGAGAAACCCUAUUUUGUGAUUUUCGAAAUUUUUCCUCGACCCACACUACCCAAAAUGUGUCCUAUAUAUUCGAUUGAGCCGUAUUCGUCCAUUCUUAGAGGAUUGAUCUUGAAGAACACAUCCUACUCUUUUUUUACAUUAACUCAAUCCCACUAUCUUAUUGGUGCACUCACUCAAAAACAUCAAAUCCACAUCCAUCAAACACCAAAACCUGUCCUUCUAGAGAAUUUGUUAGAGUUGAAGAUCAGGAAGGAGAUAGAAGUUAUGUUCUUUGAAGAACGGGGAGUUCUUAGAAAUUCACUAAAGAUAGAUGAAACCAAGAGCCGAGAGUUGGUGCAAGAGCACGAAUUCUAGGAGGGUUUUAGGGAAUUAUAGUCAAGAGGUUAGGAUAAAUGAGUGUUGUUUGAGUUUGGCAGACUGUAAGUUGAUUUUUCAGUUAGAGUGGAUUCAUACUGUCUUGGGCCUAGAGUUUUUAAUCCUGCAAGGGGUUUUCUCCGUCAUCGAAUUGUUAUGCUCUUUAAGUUUCUACAAUUUACUAUUUUGCAGCAGUUUAGCAUAGGUCAGUAAUGCAUGUGAAUCAACUUGGACAAAAUUAAUAACUGUGACUUGUUGCAAUUAUUAAUCAGUCAUUUAAAAUUCUCCACAAACACCUAUUUACCUCGUCUCAAUGUUAAUUGGGUCAAACUAUGUUAUUUCAAGUGGUAUCAGAGCCAAACCUCGAGCCCUGGAACAUGUCGGCCUACUGCGCUUUCCAUUAAGGUUCAGGGCAUUUUACUGAUGAAAUCAGUGUAUGACGCGUUAUACUACUAGCUCCUUGGCUAGUGGGCGAGGGAUGAAGUAUAUUCGACGAAGCUAUUCUUUCAUUUAAUUGAUUGCAUUACAAUGAAAGACAAUCUCAUGGUUCCUUCUCCUCACGAAAUGGAUUUGAAGUUCUUUGCCUCGGGUCAACGAACAGGUAAGAAUAGCGCUUUAGGUCGUGAGUACGUUAUGCCCGUUAUCACUCAAGCAACUCUAGCUCAAAGUAGCUCAAGCAUAGCUCUUUCUAUGGCUCUAGACUAUUCUGAGCUUGUAAACCAUAGGAGCCGAAAAUAGUUCCUCUAAUGAAGGAUCUUUCUGCGUUCAAUCACAUCUUACGCUUCGAGCAGGACCAUGCAUUUUGUUCCAAAUUGUUGUCUAGAUUAGUCAAUCUUUGUCUGUGCUUCCUUAUUUUGACAAGAGUAGUUAUACCUACUGGAAAGUUAGGAUGCGUGCAUUUCUUAAGUCCCUAGAUGAACCCGUUUAGGCUAGUGUACAAAAUGGUUAGAAGGCCCCAUCCACUACUGGGUCUGGUGUAGUCAUUCCCACUGACAUUUCACUUUUGACUAAGGAAAAAUUAGCUGACUGUAACUGGAAUAACAAAGGACUCUAUACAUUGUUUAUGGCUAUAUCUCCCGAAAAGUUUAGGAGAGUGUCAAUGUAUGAAACUGCUAAAGAGGUAUGGGAUAUUCUAGAGACUACACAUGAGGAAAUUAAAACUAUGAAUAAUUCCAAAUUGUAAAUGUAAACUUCUAGGUUUGAAGAAAUUGAGAUGAAGGAAAAUGAAUCGUUUGAUGAAUUUUACACAAAAUUGAAUGAUAUAGUGAACUCUAGCUUCAACCUAGGUGAGAGGAUUCCCAAGUCCAAAAAUGUUAGAAAGGUCCUUAGGUCUUUACCCGAGAGAUUUAGACCCAAAGUUACAGCAAUAGAAGAAAGCAAGGAUCUAGACACGGUUAAGAUAGAAGAACUUGUAGGAUUCCUUUAAACUUAUGAGCUCACUAUUUCAUAGCUGAAGAAAAAUAAGCCCAUAAUAUUGAAUACUAUUAAGGAAGAGGAGUCUGAAUCAUCUGACAUGGAGACCCUUAGGGAUGAAGAGAUAGCAUACUUUGUGAAAAAAUUCUAGAAAGCUCUAAAGAAUAAGAAAAGGCCUCAAAAGAGAAAAAAUGGAGGUCCUAGUAAAUUCCAGAAUGAUAAGAGUGAUAAACCAAAUGCUAGGAACUCUAGUAAGAAAUCUCAACUUGUUAGAUAACAUGAGUGUCAAGGGUUUGGACACUAUAGGAAUGAAUGCCCUAGUUUUAAGAAAAUUUUGAAAAAGGCAAGGAGUAAGGCAUUACUGUGUCAUAGACAGAUGGUGAAAUAAACUCAAGUGAUCAGGGUGACUCCUUUGGUAGUGAAGAUAAAAGGGUUAUAUUGCUUUCGUCUCUACAGUUAAGAGUGGGUCGGAUAAGGAGAGUGACAAGGUUGAAGAAGAUAUACAAGAUGAAAAUUAUAAGAUACUGAGGAUGAGACUGAUAUUCAUGAGGCUUACCAACUUCUGUUUAAGGAAAAUCUUAAGAUCAAGAAGAUACAUAAAGCCCUAUUUAAGAAGGUGAACGCUAUUGAGAGAGAGAAAGAGAGGCUCACAAGUGAUCUACAGGACUCGUCCAAAAGCCUUAAUGAGCUAAGAUAUGUCAAUGAAAAGCUGGAAGACAAGGUUAAGACUUUGACUAGUGACUUAGAGAAAUCAAAUAUUCACUCAACUCCAGUCAUUUAUAAGUGGGACUAAGAAACUAAAUGAUCUGUUAGGAAUGAAUAAAUCAGCUGGAAAUAGGCAAGGUUUAGGAUUUGUUAAGAGUGAUAGUAACAUGGCCAGUUUAUCCAAGACCACAUUCGUCCCUGCCUCCAACAAAUCUAGUAAUAUGGCUAAUUCGGAACCCAAAGGGAAAAGUGUCUCGGAAUAAAAGAUCACUAGAGCAUGUAAGAUCCCCCCACCUAAAAAUUAAUAUCAACAAUCACGUGCCUGUGAGCCUAGGUUUAUACUAAGCGUGGAAAUAGGAAUAGAAAUCAGGAUAUCCCUAGUCAGGUUAGCUACCUUUUAGAUCAGGUCAGUCAUUUAGCUGAUAUGGUGACAAAAUUGACCAAGAUACCUUGACUUCUCGAAAAGUUUGGGUCAAGAAAAGUGAUUUGGCUAGGCAUGCUGAGAAUCUAAACUGCUUUGUAGCUCAUGUUGCAUUUAAGGCUCAAAAUACGUGUAUGUGGUAUCUCGAUAGUACUUGCUUGAGACACAUGUAUGGAAAUAAGGCUUUGUUCUCUAUCCUUGAUAUUUUAAUGGUGGUAUGGUUACCUUUGGAGACAGGGCUACAGUACCUAUCCUUGGUAAAUGUACCGUCAACAUAUCUAGACUACUGACUAUAUCUAAUGUGCUUUAUAAAGAUAGUCUAAAGUCCAAUUUGUUAAGCAUAAGUCAAAUAUGUGAUGCUGAUUAUGAAGUGAGUUUUGUCCAAGAGAGGUAUACUGUUUAUGACCCUUUGGGUAGAGUUGUCCUCGAAGGUGUUAAAACUUCUGAUAAUUGUUAUAGAGUUCUUCCCAAUUCCAAAUAUGUGUAUAGCAGUGCUAAAAUUGAUGCGAUUAAACUUUGGAUCAAAGACUAGGUCAUGUGAAUUAUAAAAGUUUGUCAAAAUUGGCAAAAAGGAAAAUGUUAAUGGUUUGCCUAAAAUUGAACAACAAGAAAUUCUAUGUGUAAGCCUUGUAAGCAAGGGAAAUAAAUUUGGAUAAAUCACAAACAAACUUCUAAAAUUUUGACAAACAGAACCUUAGAACUUCUCCAUAUGGACUUAAUGGAACCAUCUAGGACUGAAAGCCUAGGAGGUAAGCACUAUAUUAUUGUUGUGUUGUAUGAUAAGAAAAAAAUUUGAAGCAUUUGAUCUUGUUAAAUCCCUGUGUAAAAAGCAUAAGACUGAACAAAAUCUUUCCAUAUCUAGAAUUCGAAGUGAUCAUGGAAAAGCAUUUGAAAACUCCAACUUUGAAAACUUGUGUUUGGAGGAGAAAAUUCAGCAUGAGUUCUCCUCACCAAUCACUUCACAACAAAAUGGGAUAGUUGAAAGGAAAAAUAGAGUGCUCCAAGAAAUGGCUAGAGUCAUGCUUAACGACAGGGAUCUUGCAAUGCAUUUCUAGGGUGAAGCAAUCAACAUUGCAUGCCACAUAGUGAACAAAGUAUACCUCAGAUCGAAAAUCGAUAAGACUCUAUAUGAGAUUUGGAAGGGUAAGAAGCCUAUUGUCAAAUACUUUCAUAUGUUUGGCAGCAAGGGUUACAUUAUGCGGGAUAGAGAAAAUUUAGGUAAGUUUGAUUUCAAUAAUGAUAAAAGGAAUUCUUUUGGGAUAUUCUAAGAAUAGUAGAGACUACAGAGUAUACAAUUCGCAUACUCAAAGUGUCAUGGAGUUCAUAAAUAUUUUGAAUGGUGAUGCUUUUACUGAGGGAGAAGGUGGAAAAUUUAGUUGGUUUAGAAAAUCUAAGUGAUGAUCAAUGAACAACUAUUGAACCUAAAAAACAUCCAAUAUCUAACUCUCCGUGCUUUCCUAAAGACAUAGACACUUCAGAUAAGAAUCAACCAAUUGGUGACAAAUCUUAGCCUACUAGAGAACCAUCAUCCAGGGUUAAAUCAAAUCAUCCUAAAGUCAAUAUCAUUGGAGAUCUAGAUGAAGGUAUGAGGUUACAUAAAAGGGUUCUAAUUAAUCUAACAUACACAAGCUAUGUACCCCAGAUUGAGUCCAAGAAAGUAGAGGAAGCCCUUAGAGAUGAAUGUUGGAUAAAUGCAAUGUAUGAGGAGCUUAAUCAAUUUGUCAAGAACAAUGUGUGGGUUUUAGUUUGUAGGCCCGAUGAUUGCAAUGUUAUAGGUACUAACUAGAUAUUCAAGAAUAAGACCAAUGACCAAAGUACCAUAACCAGAAACAAGGCUAGGCUAGCCAGGGGUAUACUCAAGUUGAAAGUGUCGACUUUGAUUAGACAUUCGCCCCUAUCGCAUGUCUUAAGUCCAUUCGCAUCUUCCUUGUUGUUGCUUGUACCUUAGGGUUCAAGCUUUAUCAAAUGGAUGUUAAGAAUGCUUUCUUGAAUAGAAUACUUCAAGAAGAAGCAUGUGUUGAACAGCCCAAGGGUUUAUCGACCCUACAUUUUCUCAUUAUGUCUAUAAACUGAAUAAAGUCUUGUAUGGUCUGAAAAAAACUCCUAGAGCUUGGUAUGAUAGACUCACUGCAUACCUCGUUGAUCGUGGAUUUUCAAGAGGUAGUGGAAACAGAACUUUAAUCAUUAGGCAUAUUCAAGAAACCAUAACUAUAGCAUGGAUCUAUGUCGAUGACAUCAUUUAUGGCUCUCCUGUAGACUCUUUUGCUUAUGAAUUCACUGAAUGCAUGAAAUAAGAAUUUGAAAUGAGCAAGGUUGGAGAGCCGAGCUACUUCCUUGGUCUUCAAGUAAAGCAAAUAGAUGAUGUCUUGUUCAUUUCUCAAUCAAAAUAUUCAAAUGAUCUUGUCAAGAGGUUAGGGCUAGGUAGGAAAAAGCACACAAGGACAUCCAUGAGCACAAGUGCUAAGUUAGAUCACGGUUCUAAAGGUAAAAGUGUUGAUCAAACACUGUCUAGGAAUAUGAUAGGUAGUUUACUCUAUCCUACUGCUGGUAGACUUGACAUAGCAUUCAAUGUUAGAAUGUGUGCAAGAUAUCAGGCAGACCCUAAAAAACCCAUUUGAGUACAGUGAGGUAUAUCAUUAGGUAUGCAAAUGGAACCAUAGAUCAUGGAAUCUUAUAUUCUAGAGACUCCAAACUUGAUCAUGCCAACUACUCCGAUGCCGAUUGUUGGCUGGAAAUUCUGAUGAUAGAAAGAGUGCCUCGGGUGGCUGUUUCUAUAUUGGUUCUAAUCUUGUGUCAUGAAUGAGUAAGAAACAAAACUUCAUCUCUUUGUCCACGGUCGAGGCUGAAUACAUUGUGGCCAGUAGUUGUUACACUCAGCUGCUUUGGAUGAAGCAAAUGUUGAGUGAUUAUGGGAUAAAUUAGGUAUACCAUGACUGUGUUUCAUGAUAACACUAGCACUAUUAACAUCUCUGAAAACCCUAUUCAACAUUCUAGGACAAACAUAUUGACAUUCGUCAUCACUACAUUCGAGAACUUGUUGAAUCCAAUGUGGUAUCCUUAGAGCACAUUUCUAUAGAAAAUUAGCUUGUCGAUCUGUUUACUAAACCUUUAGACGGUCUGAGGUUCGAGUCACUUAGAAAGUCUGUCGGUAUCUAUGUACCUUAUUGACCAUCUUCAUAGGGACAUCCAUGUACAACUCAUUUACUUGUCUGUUUUUGCAUUUAUUUCAUUGCAUAUUCAUUUUGAUUUGCAUUUGCCCUCUCUUCAUGCAUUUUUAAUUUCAUCAUAUAAAAUAAAAAAUUUAGUCACUGCAGAAUCGUAUUUGUUUUACUUAAACUUGCAUCUUUUGAUCAGAUAUACAUUCAAUAAAUGAUUAGCUUCAUAUUCAUAUCACUUGAAUUUAGUCUAUGCGGCGUACUUAGUAUAUGUCUCUUCAUACUUUGUCUGUACAUCACACACUAUGACCUUGUAAGUGAAUCUUGACCGCAUAUGUGAGAUUUGGGAUGACUGUCAUCUGGUGAUGAGGUGAUCGUAAUCGUGAAUUGAUCUUUGACUAGGCGAUCUAAAUUCUGCUGGUUCCUUCCAACAAAAGUUAAAAAUAUUGUUGAGUUAUAUCUUAUACCCAUCUUCGUAGCAUAGUUGACUCGAGCAAUUAAGUUUAAGGAGUUUAUAAUGCUCCAAAGCUAACUGGCUUGGGAGUCACCGAACCAAAGCUCGUUACAAGGAUCUUCUUAGUAACUUAAUGGAGAUGGGCUUGCACUUAAGAUUAAAAAAAAAAAAUUUUGGUUAUAGACAGGGGAAGAAAGAAAAUUACACACCACACAUUCAUUGAAUUAUAGGUCCCAGUGGCGCUAGAUUUGACUUUCACAAUUCUGGGAGAUAAAUUCAUUCAGCAGUGAAUUAGCAUGUCCCUUCUCACAAAUUUAAGAUUUUGAGUCUUGUUUCCAUGGAAUUAGUGGCACUUUUACAUAUGGGUGGGACAGCAUUUCUAGUCCCUGAGCAUGUCAUAUUUGUGAUAUGUGUUAGGGCACGUAUCAUAUUUAAUGAAAAAAUAUUGGUGCAAAAAUGAAAAUUUUCAAAGUAAUGCUAAAAUUCUGCAUUUUCUAAGUGUUGCUAAAAUUCUAUAUUUUCAUGAUGUGGUGCUAUUUCUAUCAAUUUCCUAUCGCUCGAUUAUUGUUGACCUCUUGCUCGAGUGAUAAUAACAAAAUUUAUGUCACUCGCUUCUCACUCGAAGCUCACUUGAGCGACAUUUAAGUUUGAAAUACACUUCGUCACCUCAUUUUCCCAUUUUUCUUCAAAUUUUCAUUGUUUUCUCUUCGAGCACACACUAUAUUCUUGCAAAAUCUGAAAUUUUGGAUAGGUCUUCAUCACUGAUUGCAUACAUUACAUAUGGUUAAAACCAUACAUUUUACCAUUUUGAUAUCUUUUGGGGUUUUGUCGAUUUCGCUUCGAUAAGCCACAAUUUCUUGAAUCUAAAUUAUUCCAUUGUGCAUCUUGAGUGUCGCAUUGCAUCGUUAUGGCUCAAGUUUGCAUUUUUUAUGGCAUUUUUCCCAUUCUUCUAUUGUUUUUUUCCCACAUUUUUGACACUUUUAUCUCGAAUUUUUUCUUCUCAGCGGUGCAUUUUUAUGACAUAGGAUUGUUGUGAUGAUGUUUGAGUACUAUUUGGUAAGUUGUGGGGUAUUGGGACUGUAAGUGUUGUGUGUUUUUUCACCUUUUACAUGUGUAUGCCACACGUUCGACAAAUUGCCUCUUCACUGAAUUGACUCGCUACCUAGGCUACUUUUACCUACUAUAUUCAUAAUCUAAGUCCCAAUCAUUUUUGGUUCUUUGUGUCUCUUGGUUGACGUCCCGUUCUUAUGAUUUCGCGUCUAGAUCAUGUCAUAUGUAACUGCGCCUUACGCUUUGCCACCAUCUCACCUCCGUCUUGACACUAAGUCCCUAACGUCUUGGCACCAUGUCACUUAGUUCUUGACAUUGCACACUUAUUGCAUAGUUUUGCGUUUUACUAUUUUUCAUUGGGUUUUAUGCUUUUCUCUAUGAUGCAUUAUUUUCCGUGCUUUUCGCAAGUUUUUGUAUCAUUUUGCACGUUUUUCCUAUUUUGCAUCAUUUAGAGUCUUCUUCAUGCUUUCGUAUAGCUUUGGGUGAUUUUUACAUAGAAGCACGUACAUCCAUGCAUAUCUCAUUUUAGGUGGUCUACGAGUCUUAACAUCUUGGUAAUAUUCUAUAUUUCAGCUGGCACCUAAGAGGGCACGAUCCGCUGCUCAGUCUAUUAGUGGGUCGACUUCGUAUAAUCGGUCUAGGUUUAUUUCUUCCACUGCUCAGGAUAUGUUUGGGACUCAGUUCUCAUUACGUCCGUUCUAGUUGAGCAUGAGGUCAGUCUUUCUAACCUUCCACCUGACCUAACAGCCAUAUUUACCUUUAGGGUUUGGGAGUCUUUAUUAGUUGGAUUGUACGCCCCGCUUAGUCUCCUAGUCCAGGAGUUCAAUGUGAAUAUUCAUGAUGUUAACGGGUCAUCUUUUAAGGCCUUCCUUCGAGGUCAGUCGAUUAAGAUCACACCUGACAUUGUUUCGAGCACUAUUCAUAGUCCACGUGUCAUUUAAUCAUUUUUUCCAUACUUGUCGGUCAACCCUAUUCCGAUCGAUUCCUUGGUUAAGUUGAGUUUUUUUAAUAGUCCAUUAGGAGGUGGACCACACAUGAUUCACAUUGGAUCACUUUCUAUUGAUUGACAAAUUUUAUUGCGCAUUAUGUGCACAAAUCUGUUUCCAGUUUCUCGUACUUCUUCAUUGCUUAUGGAAAAGACAAGAUUUUCCUAUGUCCUUCUGCAUGGUGAUUCUAUUAACCUGCCCACUUUCAUUUGUCAAAAUAUCUCUUGUAUAUUUAGUAGGAUAGGUCUCCAUAAUGCGUGCUUAAUAACCGUUUGGUGACAUCCCUGAGGCUUCAUUUCCUGAUGGGGUCUUUCAUCGGGCUUUUCAUCCCAUUUGUCAUACUAUUUUUUCGCAGAGUAGAUCCCAUUUUCCUUCUUCUUUUGCUCCUGCAGAGCUUGUUGACCUAACAGUGCCUGCUGAUCUUAUCGGUGAUCUUUUCUCUUCUGAUUCCUCAUAUAUACCUCCGUCUCAUCUUGAUGUUCCUCCAUCCACUACUAAUAUUCCAUCAUCUUCUAUUUCGGUCGCUCCACACACUCGACCUUACUCAACUGCGGGCUAUUUCAGAGCGCCAUACUGCAAAGUUUUCUACAUUGAGAGGGGUUAUGGUAUAUGUGCAGCACGUGAUCCGGUGGAUGCUUAAGCACUGGGACUAUGACGAUGAUGAUGAGGAGGAUGACGGCGAUGGUGGUGGUUCAUAGUUGUUAGAGAUUCCCUUGUCAUUUGUGACAAAAACGAGAGUGGUUUUAUUGUAUAAUUUGACUUAUUUUUGGGAUUUGUGACUUUUGAUGAUUGACAUCGAACAUGAUUGUGUUAUGUUUGACAUUAUUUUUGCUAAAUUAAGAUUUGAUGUUUUGGAAUAUUAAUGUAUGUUUUUUUGGUGUUUUAACUUACAGUGAUAUUGUGUCUUAAUCUAGCAUUAUUCAUAUGAUAGUGUGCUUGCUGAUGACUAUCUAUCUUUACUACCUUUACUUAUAUUAUUGUUUUUUGUGAGUUGUAAUUUUAGGAAGCAAGCCUAAUGAAGACAGAGCAACAGUCAGUACAGUCAUUGUUUUGCAUAGUCAUUGUGGUCAUUGUUGAUGUAAUAUAUUUUUUGUCACUUUUUCACGCCUUGGACUAACUCUUCGGCUGUUUGAACUACUACUAUCAGGCAAGCAACAACUACAUUUCCUAAUUCAGAAUGUCAAAGGGGGAGUUUGUUAGGUUUUAAGUUGACAAUUCUUUGAACAAAAGGGUCAAAUUAUAGAUGUUCAAAAAUUAAAGGUCAAAUUGUCAAUGUUUAAAAGUCAGGGGUCAAUUUGUACAUGUUUAAAAAUUAGUGACUAUGUUGUAAUUUUGUAAAAGUAUGUUAGGGUUUGAGUUUGGAAAAAAGAGAAUAAGUGUCGUCAAAGUUUCAUUAGCUGAGCGCAGGAGAUUGCUUGUGUGUAAAAAACAGAGACCUCAUCUCUAGCUCAUUGCCCUUGUCCUGUUCGAGCAAAACAAUGUCACUUGCUUUUUGCUGCAGUUUUUAUUUUAUGAUUUUCGAGGUUUUGAACUGGCCCAUACUUCCCAAAAUGUGUCCUUUAUAAUUGAGUGCACCGUAUUUGUCCAUCUUUAGAGGAUUGAUCUUGAAAAACACAUCCUACACUUUGUUACAUUGAUUCAAUCCCACUAUCUUGUUGGUGCUCUCACUCAAAAACACCAAAUCCACAUCCAUCAAACACCAAAACCUGUCCUUUUAGAGCAUUUAUCAAAAGUGGAAGAUCAGGAAAGGAGAUUGGAGUUCUGUUUGUUGAAGAAUGGGGAGCUCUCGAGUAUUCACAGAAGAUAAAUGAAAUCAAAAGCUGGGAAUUGGUGCAGGAGCACGCAUUCCAUGAGGGUUUUGGGGAAUUACAGUCAAGAGGUCAGGAAAAAGAAUGUUGUUUGAGUCUGGUAGACUCUAAGUUGAUAUUUCGUUUUUAGUAUCUUCAUAUUGGCUUUGGCCCGAAGUUUUUAAUCCCUCAAGGAGUUUUCUCCGUCAUCAAAUUGUUGUGCUUUUUAAGUUUCUACAAUUUACUAUUUUGUGACAGUUCAACAUAGACUAGUAAUGCAUGUGAAUCAAUCUGGACAAAAUUAAUAACUUUGACUUGUUGCAAUUAUUAAUCAAUUGUUAAAAAUUCUGGCACAAACACCUAUUUACCCUCUCUCUAAGUGUUAAUUGGGUCAAACUAUAUUAUUUCAAUGUUAUUAAUGCUUUUCAUUACAUAUUUGUGCACGUUAAUACAUCCAUAAACAUACAUGAAAUUUCAAGGAAUAAAAAGUUUUCAAAUGUCAUGAGUCAAUGAAUGUUUUUAAACGAUAUCUAUUCCUAAGGUUUUUAUUACGUGGUGCAUGUCUAUGUCAUGAAAGAUGUGAGUGAAAAAUGGGGUGUGGGGGAUCGAUGCACCCAAUGAAUGUUCAAUGUUCUAUGACAGUAUUAUUGUUAACCUCUUUGUGGUACUAACGGUAGGACUCGACCGGAUUCUAAAUAAUAAUUGUCCACUGUAUUCUGAUUGGCUAGGCAAUGCACCAAGUGAGUUCACAAUAUCAAUGUUAUGUUUUUAGAGAAAUGAAAAGAAGGGGAUACAUAUUGAGAAAUGCCUUUUUAUUUUAAGUAAUUCAUAUGCAUAUCAUAAGCAUGCAUCAUCCGCAUGAAGUCUUGUUACUGAGAGUUAUCUCAUCCCACAUUAUUCAUCCCCAUUUUUAGAUGACGAAGGCAAGAUAAUUCGAUACGACUACUUGUGGUGAGAUGGACUUGGUACUAAUACAUUUAGUGCAGAUCAAGUUGAAAUAAGUUUAACAUUUAAUUUGAUUAUCUUAUAUUUUUAUUAAAUAUAAAUUUUUUUGAAAUCCUUUCCUUAAAUGAAAGUCGUUAAUAUUUUUAUGUUAAAGAAAAAUUUAUAAUCAGUUUCCACAUUAUGGUUUGAAGGGAAAUUAAAUGAUAAUACUUCUACAUCUAGGUAUCUGGAUUUGGGGUGUUACAAAAUACCCAAACUAAAGUGGAAUUUUCUCUCCCACAGUUGAUAUCCAAUUGGUGUCAGUUUAUCUUUCCAAGAUUUUAAGGAACCAUGUGUAUUGUAGUCCAAGGUUUUUAGUUUUCUUUAAGUAACCAAAAACCCUCUCGAUAGCCUUCCAAUGUUCGAAAAUCGAAUUGCUAGUAAACCUACUUAGGUUAUUCAUAGCAAAUGCAACAUCAUGUCUUGUACAUUGUGUCGCAUCCAUUAGACUUCCAGUUGCACUUGCAUAUUCUAGCUAUUGCUCCUCCAUCAUUUUUUAUCAGCUUGAUACUUAGAUCCAAAGAGUAUUAGCCUCCUUGACGUUCAAUUGUUUGAACUUAUUUAUUACAUUUUAACUUUGAUAUCAAUGAUAUUAUCCACUUGUCCAAGAUCUUUUAUUUUGAAUGUGGAGGAUAGAAACCUCUUCGUUUCUUUGAUCCCAUCUAUAUUGUUACUGGUGACCAACAUAUCAUCAACAUAUAGACAUUAAAGUAAUUAGACUAUUAUUUACUUUAGUGUAAAGACAAAAUAUCUACCGAAUUAUGAUUAAAAUCAUUUGACAUUAUUAUAGAGUCAAAUUUCUCAUGCCACUUAUUAGGAGCUUGUUUCAAUCCAUAUAAAGAUUUGAUUAGUUUGCACACUUUAUGUUCAUUUUUUGGUAGAACGAACUCUUCUGGUUAAAUCAUAUAGACCUCUUCUUUGAGAUCUCCAUUUAGGAAUGCCUUCUUGACAUCCAUUUGAUGAACACAUAAAUCAUAAAUUGAUGCUAGUGCAAACAGGUUCCUUAUCAAUGUUAUCCUAGCCAUAGGUGCAUAUGUGUUAAAGUAAUAUAUUCCUUCCUUUUGACAAUACCCUUUAGCUGCUAUUCUAGCAUUGUAGGUAUUAAGCGUUCCAUCAGAAUUGUACUUUUUUCUAAAUACCCACUUGCAACAAAUAGCUUUCGAACCAUUUCAUAAGUCAGCUAUUUCCCAAGUAUUAUUUGAAAUAAUGGAAUUCAUUUCAUUAUUUAUCGCUUCUUUUCAAAAUAUACAAUCUCUAGAUGAUAUUGCUUCCUUAUAGGUUUUAGGAUCACUUUUCAUUUGAAGAACAAUAGGUAUUGUUCUUACAACCUCCUUCCUAUCUCUCUCUACUACGUAAAAAUAAAUAAGUUGAAAAUCUAUUCCAUCCGAUCCUAAACCUUUUUCUUUUCGAAUUUUCUUACUAUUUCGAGGUUCACUUUCAACAUUUCUAAUAGCUCUCUAGAAUUUGGAAUAACAUCAUUAUUUUGAGGUUUUUACUAAUAGAAAAUUUCUUCUCCCUUGAUUCUAUUAUAACAUCUGAUUCAAGGUUUAAUAACCUAUAAGCCAUGCUAUUAAGAACAUAUCAUACAAAGGCACAUUUAAUAUCACUAUGACCUAAUUUAGUUCUCUUAUGAUCCGUAUUUUUAUAAUAAGCAAGGCACCCGUACACUCUGAAAUAAUUAAUAUUUGGUUUUCUACCUUUCCAUAUUUCAUAUGGGAAGAUCUUAUUAUUUUUCAUAGGAACGCUAUUUAGUAUAUGUCAAACACUAAGUAAAACUUCACCCCAUAGAUUAAAAUGUAAUUCAGAAUUCAAUAACAUGGCAUUUAUCAUCUAUAAGAAUGCCUUAUUCUUUCUUCAAACCAUUUUUUUUUGGAGUUCGUGGUGCUGAAUAUUGAUGCAUUAUUCAAUUUUGUUCACAUAACACAUUGAAUUCAUUAGAGAAAUAUUCUUCAUCUCUAUCACUUCUUCGAGUUUUAAGUUUUCUUCCUAAUUGAUUUUCUACUUCGAAUUUAUAAGUCUUAAAGGCACUAAAGGCUUCAUCCUUAUGCUUUAACAAAUAGAUAUAAGUAUAACUAGAGCAAUCAUCAAUGAAAGUAAUAAAAUAUCUAUUAUCACCUCUUGUUAGCAUGUCAUUCAAUUCACAUACGUCGAAAUGAACAAGUUCAAGUAGGUUUGUUGAUCUUACUGUACUACGAAAUGACUUUUUAAUUAUUUUUAAUUUAAUACAUGUUUCACAUUUUUCCAAGUUGUCAAAGUCACAUUGUAUCAACCCACAUUUGACCAUUCUUUUCAUAGUGCUAACUCCUAUGUGUGCUAAUCUACCAUGCCAUAAAUUGUAAGAAUCAACAACAUAGGCAAAUCAUUUAAUUUUAUUAGAAUUAUCCUCAAAAGUACAUAGUUUUACCAUUCCUUCAUCGGAAUAGCCCUUUCCAACAAAGUACCCAUUAUGGGUUGGUACAAGUUUUUCUGAUUCAAAAAUGGAUUUAAGUCCAAGUUUUCUCAAUAGAACUCCACUUGCUAAGUUUCUAUUCAUUUCUGGUACAUGAAGGACAUUUGUCAUAGUGACCUUCUUCCCAAAGUGAACAUGAUUUUCGAACUACCUUUGCCAAUCACUUGAGAUCUUCCUUCAUUUCCCAUUUGAAUUUCUUGAUCGUCUUGAAUGUCAUGAUAAGUUUUGAAAAAAGACAUAUCAUAACAAACAUGGAUUGUAACACUGUGUCAUACCACUGAUCUAGAACUUUCUCUUGGAUUGCAUUGAUUUCACUCACCAUAACGAUAAUCUCAUCAAUGAAAUUUCCUUGUCCUUCCUUCUUUCGUUGUUUUCUAUACUUGCAAUCUCUUGCAUAGUGUCCUAAUUUUCCAUAAACAUAGCAAGGUCAUUUGGAUUUGUUUUUGAACUUUCCUCAAUUCUUUUUAGGAGCAAGAGGUUUCCUUUUUGUUUUGUAUUUUUUGGAAUUGUCCAAACUGUCCAUGGCAUGGGUUUUCGAAGAGCCAUGUAGUCAUAUCUCUUGCCUUUGAUUCUUCCUCUAUGAGAAGUUGCUUUUGGACGUCUUCCAAAGAGAAGUCUUCAGAAUUGUGAAAAAUCUUCUUUCUAUAUCCUUUUCAAGACAUCGAGAAUUUAGUAAAAAUUGCUCCCACUUUGAAGGAUUUGAAAAGUUCAAUGUCACCACUUUCGAUUUGUUAACACUAAUUUACAAUUCGUGUAUUUGAGGCAACAAAUGAAUAUUAUCAAGCAUUUUGCAAUCAAAAUAUUUAGAAAUUAAAAUCUUCUUUGUACUUUCCUCCUCGGCCUUUUAUUUAUUUUCAAGUGCGUCCCAAAUUUCCUUUGCUGAAGUAGUAUUUGUGUAAGAUCAUAUAGCCAAUCCAAAAGGGCAUUUAGAAUGUGAUCGUGACAUAUCAAUUUGUUUUAUUCCCCUUUCUAUCAGCACGAACUUAUUCAAUAUUCUUUUUAUUGCAUUAGCGAUUGCCUCCAAAUUUAGAUCAAGCACGUAGAAGAUCUUUAAUGUUGUUAAUAGGAAUUUGAGUUUGUCUAGCUAUCUUGUGAAGUUAGAUCCAUCAAAUCUGUCCAAGCUCACCAAAUUUUGAUUCAUCAACAUGAUUGUAGCACGCGUAAAUUCUGUCUCCAUCGUAGUAAAUGAGGAUAUCGUUUGCGAAUGUUAUAAAAAAAUGCAGCAAUAUAGAACAAAAGAUGAAUAUAUACGGAAGAAAACUUGAACAUGAAAUAAUGUCAUUUUCCUCAAAUGAUAUUUGCCUCCUUCACAAUGCUUUUAAGGAUUAAAAUGAAAAAUAGUUUGUAGCAUUAAUCAAGCCUCAAGAAGAACGCCAAAAGCAAAUUAUUCUCCAAAUGAACAAGUGAAAAAGAAGAAUUUGAUUAUGUUGCGGGACAAAAAUUCAUACAAAGUUGGAUGAAUAGUAGAGUAAGUUUUCCAUGUAUUUCUGGGAUGAACACAACAUGUAUUUAUAGAUUUCUCUCAUCCCUACAUGAAAUGGUUCCAACUGAAAUGAAUGAGUACAUGAUUCAUCAAGAAAACUACCAGAAAUUCAAAAAAAAUUCCAGCCAAUAGUCAUAUUUUUCAACUAUGCGACCGCAUAGGCUAUAACUAUGCGAUCGAUUAGUUAUAGCUUUGGCUGCCUCCAAUAUUUCUGAACUACCACAUGCGACCGUAGGCCUUAGAUGCUUAUGCGUUCACAUAGGCCAUUGAUCUAAGCCCCGUCUAAUCCACUUUUGGUGCCAAUCAUUAUGAAAUCGAAAGGAAGGUGUUUGGUUUAAUCAAUUAAAGGUUGUGUUUAACUCCACAGAUAUUUUUCUCAAAUUCAUUUUUUACCAUAUAUUUGCGGGACAUACAACUUUUAAAUUGAAAUUUCAUUAAUUUUUAUAAAUCUCUCUCUCUCUCUCUCUCUCUCUCUCUCUAUAUAUAUAUAUAUAUAUAUAUAUAUAUAUAUAUAUAUAUAUAUAUAUACACACCANNNNNNNNNNNNNNNNNNNNNNNNNNNNNNNNNNNNNNNNNNNNNNNNNNNNNNNNNNNNNNNAUAUAUAGUCAAGCCAAACUAGGGCUUAAUUUCGUGGAUUCACAUAGAAUAUAUACGUAUUGACAAAAUUGGGAACAGCCAAAUGUUGUAACUCUCGUUUGAAUAGAAAAUCAUACGAAAGAAACCCUCACUACCAAAUGAUAAAAAUAGCACUACCUAAAUGAUUGUACCUAUAAGUAUUUAAAAAUAAAUAAAAACCAGUUGAUUGAAAACAAAAGGUUUAAAAAAUGAAUUAAACUAUUUGUAUGGUAGAGAUCCCCCUGUAUAAGUUACAAGUGCAGUGCUUCCAACACUUUACCUGUAAUAUGUAAAGGGGAUUUCCCCGGUACAUAUAACAUCACCCUUAGAAAAGGUAUGCGAGCUACAAGUGACUACACUCCUAGGUCAAUGUCAAGUUCAGACUUUAUAUGCGGCCUAAGAAGUGGUGCCUCGACCACCAAAUAUUACAAAAUGUAUUGAAAUUAGGUGGAUAGAUCAUACAAAAUAUAUAUAGGCAAAAAAUUGUUUGAUCAUCUUGAAUUAGAAUUUAAAUUUUGUAAAACAUGCAUUAACGUUUUAACAAAAAUGCGUAGUCAUGCAUUAUGAUAGGAACUCCAAAUUCUCUAGCAAAUACAGCUUUUUUGAUCAUUUCUUCGCAUGUACCUGCAGUGGAGUACAGAGAUCAAGGAAAAAGGCAUAUAUUGGAUGAUUUUUGUGCACUUGACUACUCUAGUCUGGCACGAUCUACUUGUAAAUGUUGAUUGAUUAAUGACAAGAUCUAUUUUGAAUUUGAAUUUACUGGUCUCGAACUUGGUUAAUUAGCCAAUUUUUAGAUCCUUGAUUGACAAUAACUAAUUUGUUAGAUGCUUAUAAUUCCACAACACUUGAAAUUACUUCUCAAAGGUGUAAGUAGAGAUUUGGUGGUUAUUUUUCAAAUUUUACUUUUUAACAAAUUCAAUUUUAAUCUUACAUUUUUAAUAAAAUAAUAUUGUAAGUAAACUCCUAAAUUUUCCCAUAUUUUAAUCAUAAAUUCUUUAAAAAAUUCACUUCUCAUAAAAUAUAUUCUAAAAAAAUCUACAUUAAAUAGAUCCUAAACGAAGGUAAAAGUAAAAUUGGCCAAAAUAAUUGGAAGGUAAAAGAGUAAACGGAGGUUAUGAAGAUGAUGACUAUAUUGCCACCAAAAUUUUUAUUAACUACAUCAUAUUUUAAUUGUAAUUAACUCCUUAAUCAUUGUUCAUUGUAGUAAUUAUUUUCUUAAUUUUUUCAUCGAAUUCUUAUCUUCAACCUUCCAUUAAUUUGUAUAUCUCAUUUUUUAUGUGGAUUUAUGCCAAAAUAUUUUGUUUCUAUACUUUAAAAUAAAGGAAAAAUAUUUUUCCUACCUUCUAAUUUAUUUAUUUUUUAAAAUAUGAUGAGAAAAUAAAUUGUUAUGGGCUAUUGUAAUGGACUUUUUAAACAUAAAAUAUUUUUAAAUAUAAAAUGUGUCAACACAUGAAAAGCUUGAGGAUUAGAAUACCGUUAGAAACAUAAAUGUUAUAAUGAGUAAAGAUUGAGAAACCUAAAUGUAAUUAAAAUGCGAUACAACAAAUAAAAAUUGUUGGUGUGAAUAUAAUUACAAUGGAGAUGACAAGGAAGACGGGGAUUGGAGAGAAAUAAGGAAAUAUGUCCAAUCAAUCCCCAUGAAUCGGCAGCCAUGGAAUUUAGGGAUUAUUAGAUACAAAAUGUGUUAACUCAUGAAAAGCUUGAGGAUAAGAAUACCAUGAACAAUAGUUAGAGACUAAAUGUUAUAAGAAGUAGAUUGAGAAUUCUAAAUGUAAAUAAAUAUGCUGUAAAAGGUAAAAUAUAUGAAAUGAAUAUAAUUCCAACGGAGAUAACAAGGAAGAUGGGGACUGGAGAGAAGAAAUCAUGAAAUAUGUCCAAUCAAUCACUAUAAAUAGGAAGCCAUGGAAUUUAGGGAGACUUAUAAAGCCACCUCCAUCAAGCCGCCGCGUCUCAUAUCUAAAUUCUUCAAUGCUGUUUUGCUACCUUGACAGCGUCCUAUUUCCUCUGUUUUUUCUUUUUUCCCAUUUUUUUUUUCAUCUUUCAAUGAUAUUUUGCUAUGUGUUAUCUGUGAAAGAAAUCUUUAUGUGUAGCAUGAUUGUCCAAAUUGGUGAAUGACGAUGGUUUAUAUCAUCGGCUGGCUUGAGUUAUGGAGCCAUUACAUAAUAGCUUAGCCUGAACCAUAGGAAUGUUGGAUGAAAUUAUAAUCAGACACUUCGUUUGAAAACGAUACACUUUAGUCCUGUUUGGGUUCCAUUCUACAAAAAAUUAUUUUUGUUAAACCUCAUUUUUAAUCAAAUUCUUCUUAAACUCAAGACCUCGAGUUUUUAGUUUUGUGGCGUGUCUGUAUUAUAAAAAAGAGAACCAAAAUGAUAGGAAAACAUGAUUAUCACCUCAAUUGUUUUGUUAUAAUAUUUACCUAAUGCUUUAUUUUAGUUCAAAAGCACCUACGAAAUUAUUUGAGUUGAAUAGUAACUAAAUAACUCAGUCCUCGUUUUGUCAAAUUUAUGAGUUAUUUAUAAAGAUUAAUAGUGGUGGAUCCGGAAAAAUGUGUAAAUAAUAACAGAGUAAAAAUUAUAAAUAUUUGGUUAAAAUUACAAAUUGUACUUGACUGAAUUUAUACACGUUUUAUCAGCUAGUUGCUAAAAAACAAAUUGUCCUUGACUAUAUUUAUAUAAAUGUUUUAUGUAUCAAUCGCUAAAGCCAAAUUGUAUCGACUCGUACAGGCAGGGCUAAUGUACCAUUUGGAUCAAGUUGGAAUAUCAACCAUUCACUUCUUAUCAACUGAAACCACUUUAAACAUUCCAUAAUUUUGUUGAAGUGACCAAAAUUUUUAAAUUGACAAUCUUGCCAAUGAUAAAUGAAUGUCACUACUAUGCGACCAUAACUAAAGAGCAUUUUAGAACCACAAAAAUAAAUGAAAAAGAGAAGUCCGUGAAUGGUGAGCCCUUGUUUGAACCCCGUUCUUUUAAAAAUUCAUUUUUUCAAAACUCAUUUUCAAUCACAUAUUUUUUAAUAAAAUAAUAUUACAUGCAAAUUCAAAUUUUUUCCUUAAUUUUUAACCACAAAUUCUUCAUUAAUCUACUAUUCAAAAUGCAUUCAUUCCCCCUAAAAUGGGGCUCAAACAAGGGUAAUGUCCAUCUAUUCUACCUACUUAAACAUGAAUUGCUCUUCGUCCUUGAAUCCAAAUGCAUAAGCUUGAGCCUACUUGUAAUACUAGUAGGGUAGAUCGAAACUUCGAUGGAUAAUUCAUUGUACGAGUUUUUGACAAUUCUUCAUUUGACUUUUCUUAAGAUUGUGAAUCUUUUGACAUUAUUAUAUUUCAAUCUAAGUAACGUAUAACAUAAAUUUUAUGUCAUAUAAAAGGAGAAUUUUGAUAGGAUUGCCUCAAUAAUAUAAACCAAAUUUUGACCUCAGAAAAAUAAAAUAAAAAUCACCCUUUAAUUGCAAAUGAAAUUGCCUGUGUGAGACCAUAUCUAUGGUUUCCAUUCAAAAAUGAAAUAUUCAUUGUUGACAAUAGCCAGAAAAUAAUUCCCUAGUUUGAAGUCUAUUCAAUCAAGACGAUAUUCUAACUAUUUAAUUGUUUUAAAUAUCGUAAACAUGAGGUUUUUUUUUUUUUUUUUUUUGUGAGACGAGGAGAAAAAAUAGUCCAGCAUUUUGGCUAAAGUAGAAAAAUAUAGUCCAAUCAGACAUCGUUAGAUAAGUGUACGUGUCUAUAUAUAUAGACAAUCACACGUCUUUUAAUUGUAUUUUCAACGGGGAAAAUAUUGCAAUCAAAAAAUCCUAUACAUAUCAAACAAGCGUAUAGUUAGAAAACUAUGUCUGAUGGGUUAAAUCAUAUUUUUGUUCAGAAUUGAGACCAAAAUGAAGUUAAUAUUGUACUUAAGUUUGUUACUUAGUUAUUUUUAUAGUAGCAAAUGACGCAUCUGGAGUUACUUCUAUUGGUAGUGUUUGUGAGUCUCAAACGAAUCGGAAAAAAUAGAAUUUAGAAUAGAAAUUUAAGUGAAGAAAAUUGUUCUCUCAGAAACUCAAUUUAUAUGAUUUCAUAUUUUUCUCUAAUAAUAAAACACUACAAAUAAGCAAUUUUUUGUUAAUACUAUAUUUUGUACGUAAUAAUUAAUUGUUAACACAUGAAUUUAGACAACCAUUAGAAAUUCCUAGGAACAAGAAGAGAACUAGAUUCAUCUACAAUAACUCUACAUGCAUGUAAAUCCAAAUUCAUCAAGACAAGAUUCAUCAAGUUUAAACUAAUAUUCAAACAUCCUCCCCUAAUCUAGACUCGAAUAACACUUUUUAUCGCACUCGAUCAGUUCAGAGUAUCCCCAGCUAUCUAGCCUCAUCCGAAGACUCGUCCCUUCAACUUUCUUCUUUCCCACCGCCGCCUUGCUUGACUUCACCAUUGAAUUAUUAACCACCUCAAUUGUCGGUGGCAAUGAAGACAUGGGCUUCUUCUUCAGUGGAUCAAUUGGCUCAUUCCCUUUCCCAUCUCCCCACUCUCUCUUGAGAUCGUUUCUAUAUAUAGAUUUCUUCUUCCUUUUCAUCCAUACAAUAUAGAGGUCUCCCGGGUGGUCACUGUUGUUUUAGAUUUUAUGUUAUGCCAUUUCUUUUUACUUAAAGUCGCUUGUCAUCACCAAUCUUUACUUGACUUUAGAGAGGAUCGUCCCAAAUUGUGAAAAUAUCUUUAUUAUCACUGAUAUGAUUACUACAACCACUGUUAAGAUACAAACAUCUUUGGUGACAAACUUCUUGUGCUCUAAAGGCUAGAAAAAAGAGCCUCCUCGUCAUUAUUUUGUUCCUUAUGUAUGAAAUUGAGUUAUUUUUGUCACCAUUAUUUUUCUUAAACACGCAAUAUUCUUUAGCAUGGCCAAAACGAUUGCAAUUGUAGCAUCGAGAAUGAGAAAAAUUACCACAAUCUCGCAUCGGCCUCUUAAUAUGCCUCUUCCUCUUCUUCAACCUUAAAAUGAACUUGGUUCUUCCUCGCUUUCACUAUUGACACUCUGGGGCUCGAAAUUUCUACCAUUCUCCUUUCAAACUUUGACUAAAAGAAGUUUGAGAUUGAAAGGCUUGUUAUAAAGGAAUGGCAUCAAAUUGCUUCAAUGUAAGCUCACGAGAUUGGAGAGAUCCCAUCAAGUUAUUUACCAAUAAAUUGGCCAAGUCUUUUGAUUUUCAAUGGCGACAACAACGUGCUCAAAUUUUCUAGUCAUGCUGCUGAGAAUUUUCCCAACAGUUCUCUGAUCUAAAAUUUGUUCUCCAUUUACUUUCAAUUGAUUAAUAAUUGAGAGAACACGAUUAAAAUACUCCUCCAUCAACUCAGAGUUUUUCAUAUUAAGUGUAUAAAAUUCAGAUCUCAGAGCUUGCAAUCUUAACAUUUUUACUUUAUCUUUAACUUGACAAGUUGAUUGCAAAGUGUUCCAUGUACCAUUCUGAAUUUGUUGUGGAAAUUCAUAAGCCUUCUUGUCCUUCUUGUGAUUUUCCUUUAAUUCGUUAUUUUGUUGCCGAGUAAGAGCAACUUGAUCUUGUGGCUCAAUAAAUCCGUUCUCAAGAAUUUCCCUUAACUCUUGGGAACCGUAUAAAACUUUCAUUUGUUGACUACAAUUCUUCCCAUCGAAGCAAGGAAGUUAAGGUUGCAACACAUUGUUGUUGUUGGAUGCUAUAUCGUAAACCCAUUCCAAUAUCAAUUUGCUGAAAGGUUUUGAUGAGCCUCAAAAGAAUCAAAGAAAAUGAAAUUUAGAUAGAAAUUUAAGAUAAAAAACAUUAUUCUCUCAAAACUCAACUUUUAUGAUUUCAUAUUUUUUCCUAAUAAUAAAAUAUUACAAAUGAUCAAAUCUUUUUAUUACGUUUGCUAUAUAAGAAUUAAUUGUUAAUACAUGAAAUUAAAUAACAAUUUAAAAUUUUGAGAAAAAGACAUACAAUGGAUGAUAUUCGUACACCUGACUAGUCAAGUUUGGCACAAUAUACUGGUACAUGUUGAUUGAUUAAUAACAAGAUCUGUAUUAAAUUUGAAUUAAUCCGUCUCAAACUUGAUUAACUGCCCAUGUUGAGAUCCUUAGUUGGCAACAACCAAUUUUUUAGAUGCUAAUAAUUCCACGAGACUUGAAAUUACCUCACAAAAUUGUAAGUAGAAAUUUGUUAGUGAUUUUUCAAAAUUCAUUGUUUUAAAAAUUCAUUCUUAAUCAUACAUUUUUUUUAACAAAAUAAUUUUGUAUGUAAACUCACAAUCUUUCAUAUUUUAAAAUCAUAUAUUCUUUAAAAAAAUUCACUUUUCAUAAAAUUUAUUUUAAAAAUAUCUAAAUUAAACAAAACCUGAAAGAGGAUAAACGCCAAAUUGGUCAAAGCUGAAGGGUAAAAGAGUAAAUGGAGGUUACAAAAGAAAAUGAAGAGGGUGGUUAUAUUACCAACACAAUUUUUUAUCAGUUACAUAAUAUUGUAUUUGCAGUUAAAGUUCCUAAUCUUUGUUCAUUGUAGCAAUUAAAUGCUCAAUUUUCUUUCGUCAAAUUCUUAUCUUCAACUUGUCAUUAAUUAGUAUAUCUUGUCCUUGAUGGUGAUUUAUAUCAAAAUAUUUUGUUCCUAUGAUUUUAAAUAAGGAAACAAAAUUCGUACUAUUUAAUUUAUUUAAUAUUUUAAAAUAUGAUGGAAGAAGAAGUUGUUAAACAUUGUUUUAAAAUAUGAAGCAAUGAAACUCUUAAAUCUUUGUUCCGUGCAGUAAUUAUUUCCAUAAUUUUUUCGUCGAAUUCUUAUCUACAAACUUCCGGUAAUUGGUAUAUCUCAUCCUUGAUGGUGAUUUAUGUCAAAAUAUUUUAUUUUAAAAAUUUAAAAUAAGUGAAAAAUAUGCUGACAUGAACUAUUAUUAAAUACAAAAUACGUUAAGUAAUAAAACAUUUGAGGAUAAGAAUAUCAUGAAAAAUCGACAAGGACAUAACUGUUAUAAUGAGUAAAGAUUGAACCUUAAAUAUAAUUAAAAUAGGGUGCAAGGAAUAAAAUUGUAAUAUGAACAUAAUUAUCCAAAUUGGGAUGACAAAAUAGAUGGUGACAGGGUAGGAAAAAACAACUAAAUGUCCAAUCAAUACAUAUGAAUAGGCGUCCCCAGGGCACAUCUCCAAGUGGUAAAAGAGAAGGGUGGAAAAAUCCAACUUUGCUUGAGAUUGCAGCGUCAAGGGUUCGAAUCCUGAAACAUGGAUUUGGCUCUUGGGUAAGUGCAAGUGUACAAGCAGCCUUCCACCAUUUACCCUUGGAGGCAUAACUGCGAUUUACCUCCCUCACGAUACUCCAGAACAGGGGCGAUGGGGGACCCUUAAGGUUGGGGUUCAACAUUUUUUUUUUUAAUACAUAUGAAUAGGCAACCUUGGAAUUUAGGUAGACCUAUAGAGCCACCACUAUCGGGCCGCUCAUCUCAUUUCUAAAGUUGAUUCCUAAAACUAUUCAAUCCUAUUGAACCUAAGAAAUGUAGCAGUUCAAAUUUUUUUUCUACAGGCCUAACGUGGCAGUACAUAGGAAUGUUGGAUGAUGUUAUAGUCUACUUUGUUUGUAGUUUGAACUCUAUUAAUUAUGAUACAUACAAUUUUAUUUUUUUAAACUCAUUUUUAAUCAAAAUUUUCUAAUUAAAUCACAAAAUUUAAUCACACUCCUUGUCUCAAAACCUCGAGUUUUCAAUUUUGUGACGUGUCUUCAUUUUAAAAGAGAACCAAAAUGAUAUGAAAAAAUGAUUAUCAUCUCCCAUUGUAGUGGUUUUAAUCUUAUCAAAUGCAUUAUUUUAGUUCAAAAGCACCUGUGAAAUAUUUGAGUUGAGCAUUAACUAAACAAUUUAGUGACUACUUUUCAAAUUUAUAAGUGAUUUAAAAAGACUAAUAGUAGGGAAUCCUAAAUCAUAUGUGGAUACCAACCGAGUAAAAAAUUGCGAAUAUCCAUUUGAUCGCAAAAAACAAAUUGUACUUAACUGAAUUUACAUAAAUGCCCCUUAUCAAUUGAUUGCUAAAAACAAAUGGAUUAGAAUCGUACACAUGCACGAUCAGUGAACUAUUUGGAUCAAGGUGGAAUAUCAUCCGUGAACUUCUUGAUGAGGUUCAUGUGGAGGAACAGACACUUGGGUGUAUGGAAUGCUUGGAUAGUCUGCGUUCAAAAAAAUUGACGUAACUUUUGUAUAUGGUGUCCAUUUUGGGCCCAUAAUUCCAUUCCGUUUUGACCGUUUGAAUUCGUUUAUUGGGUCAAAAUGACAUUUAAAGUUUUUUAGUUUAUUAUUUUUAGUAUUUGUUAUUCUCACUUUGUAGCCCAGCUCAUUAAGAAACUAUUAGCCCGAUAGGUUAUCUAUUCUUUUCAUAUUUAAGACUCUUAAACGUCUCCUAGGGUUUUUUGGUCGUUCAUAAAAUAAAAAAAAAAACUUUUGUUUUUUGAGUUCAAUCCAUUUGAGUUGUUAGUAUCUUGUGUUUUAGAUUCGAUCUACAUUAAUUCUUAUCGACUCAAAUGAUUUAAAAAAAAGGGGACUCAAACAACCCCUUAAUCUUUGUUACUUGUAGUAAUUAUUUCCAAAAUUUUUCAUUGAAUUCUUAUCUACAACUUUCCAUUAAUCAGUAUAUCUCAUCCUUGAUGGUGAUUUUUGUGAAAAUAUUGUUUUUCGAAAAAUUGAAAUAAGUGAAAAAUAUUUUUUCAUACUUUUUAUUUUUAUUUUUUAAAUAGAUGGGAAAAUAAGUUGUUAUAUAUUAUGUAAAUGGAUUUUUGGACAUAAAUUAUUCUUAAAUACAAAAUAUGUUAACUAAUAAAAAGUUCGAGGAUAAGAAUAUCAUGAAAAGUCGACAUUGAUAUAAUUGUUAUAAUGAGUAAAGAUUGAACCUCAAAUAUAAUUAAACUAUAGUGCAAGGAACAAAAAUGUGAUGUGAACUAGAGGCGGACCCAGACCUUUAGUAUUGUGGGGGUCAAAAUUUUAAAAAUAAUUUUUUAAAAAAAAAUGACAUAAUAUCAAUGAAAAUAAGUUUAUAUGUAUUUUGACAUUUUGAAAACGUUGUAUAAUUACAUCAUUAUUAAUAUUAUUAAAUAAAUUUUGCUUUUUGUAUCCUCUUGUUUAUCAUUUCAUUGGCAAAUGUUGAGCUAACAUUGAGUAAAUUAAAUUGAAUAUAGAAAUUAAAUAAAUUGAAAUAAAAUUCAACUUUAAUUUAGGAAGUAAAUGAAAUUCAAAUUUAAAGCAAAUAUAAUUCGAAAGUAAUACAAAUUGCAUUUAAUCCAUAAUGACCCUAAAAAAUUUACGUCAUAUUUCACGUAAGACUUCUGAAUGAAACGAUAUAAAUUAUAUUGAAAAAUUUAUCGUGCAAAAAUAAUAAUUAAUUGAAUUUUUUUAAAAGAAAAAACGAGUUAGACGUCUUUUUUGAAACGUACGUUUGAUACAUAUAUUUAACUAUUUUCGAUAUCCAUUUGGACCAUUCGAUAUGAAAACGAUGUAAUUUUCGAAACAAACUUUUACAUGACAGACGAUUUGUGGAUUCAGAUAGCACAUGAUCGCAAAUGAAUUUUUAAAGUUAGGAUAUUAUCGAAAUUUUUAAAAUACUAAUUUCAAACGCCCUACUUUAACAUGUCACAACUUUUUUUAUAGUUGACCACUUCGCAUGACUUUAAUGAGUGAAAAAUUAGACCAUGAGCACUUCGAAAUGGUAUUGAAAAUGUAAUAUUUUGACUUCAUUUGACAUCCCGACGAGUACAUCAAAAUAGAGUGUAAAAAACAAAAAGGGGGAGGGGAAUUUUGUGGGGUCAUUUGACCCCACAUGACCCCAUGUGGGUCCGCCCUUGAUGUGAACGUAAUUAUCUAAACUGAGACGACAAAGUAGAUGGGGAUAGGAGGGAAAAAAACAACAAACAUGUCCAAUCAAUACAUAUGAAUGGGCAACCUCGAAGUUAGGUAGACCUAUUGAGCCACCUCGGUCGAGCCCCUGCGUCUUAUUUCUAAAGUUGAUUCCUCAAAUUCUUCAAUCCUCUAUUUACUCCAAAAUGGUGAAUAGUGGUGGUUUGCAUUAUCGGCUGGCUUGAGCUAUGGAGCUAUUAUAUAAUAGCUGAGUUUGAACCUAAGAAAUGUAGCAGUUCAAAUUUUUAUCAACAGGCCUAACGUGAGAGUAAAAGGUUAAACCCUAAUCUUAAGGGUCUCCCACCACACCUGCCCUGGAGUAUCGUGAGGGAGGUAAAUCGCAGGUUAUGUCUCCAAGGGUAUAGGGUGGAAGGCUGCUUGUACACUUGCACUUACCCAAAAGCCAAAUCCAUAUUUCAGAAUUCGAACCCUUGACACAGCAGCCUCAAGCAAAGUUGGAUUUCUCCACCCUCCCCUUUUACCACUUGGAGAUGUGCCCUGGGAGCGGCCUAACGUGAGAGUAGUACAUAGGAAUGGUGGAUGAAAUUAUUGUCAGAUAUUCUUUUUAAAAUUUGAACUCUAUUAAUUAUGAUACAAUUAGUCAUGUUUGGUUCCAUUCUACAAUUUCAUUUUUUUAAAACUUAUUUUUAAUCACAAUUUUUUAAUCAAAUCAAAAAAUUUUAAUCACGCUCAUUGUCUCAAAACAUCGAGUUUUCAAUUAUGUGGUAUGACGUUAUUUUAAAAGAAAACCAAAAUGAUAUUAAAAAAUGAUUCUCACCACCUUCAGUUGUUGGGUUUUAAUCUUUAUCUAAUGCAUUAUUUUAGUUCAAAAGCACCUGUGAAAUUAUUUGAGUUGAAUAGUAACUAAACAACUUAGCGAUUGUUUUUCAAAUUUAUAAGUGAUCAAUACAGAUUAAUAGUAGAGAAUCCCAAAAAAUAUGUAGAUACUAACAAAGUAGAAAAUUACGAAUAGUUGGUUAAAAUUACAAAUUAUACUUGAUUGAACGUUUUACCAACUGAUUGCUAAAGACAAAUUGUAAACUAUAUUUAUAUAAAUGUCUUAUCAAUUGAUUGCUAAAACCUAACCACGAUUAUUGUACUAUUUGGAUCAACGUGAAAUAUCAUCCAGUAACUUCUUUUCAACUCAAAUAGUUUAAAAAGUGUCACCAAAAUUUUUAAUUGAUAAUCUUUUCAGUGAUGAAUGAAUGUCACUACUAUAUGACCAAAACGAAAGAGCGUUUUAGAACCAAUAAGAAAAAAGGAAAAAAAAAAGUCAGUGUAUCGUGCCUUAAAUAUCCGUCUUAUCUAUCCACUUAAACGCGAACUGCUCCUCAUUCGUGAAUCUAAGCGACGUAUAACAUAACCUUUUAUAUCGCAUAAUAAGAAAUCAUCAAUAGAAUUUUGAUAGGAUUGCCUCAAUAAUAUAAACCAAAUUUUGAUUUAAAAGAACUCCGUUCAAUUGCAAAUGAAAUUGCUCGCUUGAGACCAUAUCUAUGGAUUCCAUUCGGAAAUUGAAAUUAUCACUAAUGACAAUACCCAGAAAACAAUUCUCUAGUUUGAAGUUUCUUCUAUAAAGGCGUCAUUCUAACUAUUUAACUGUAUUUUAAAUGAUGUACACAUGAGUUUUUAUUUAUUUGUAACAAUGAGCAUUAAUAGUCUGCAUUUCGGCUAAAGUAGAAAAAUAUAAUCCAAUGACGCAUCGUCAGACAAGUGUACGUGUCUAUAAAAGAAUCCUAUACAUAUCCAAAAAAAUAAAUAAAAAUAAAUUGGCGCACUAGGAUGAUUGGAAUAUAAUUAUACAAAUCGGGAUGACAAGGAAGAUGGGGACAGGAGAGGAAGAAAACAACAAAUAUGUCCAAUCAAUACCUAACACAAUGCAGACCUGAAUUAAAGUAGACUUAUAAAGCCAUCUCCACCAAGCCGCUGCGUCUCAUUUCUAAAGUUGAUUUCUCAAAUUCUUCAAUCCUAUUUUGCUCCAAAUUGGCGAAUGGUGAUGGUUUGCAUCAUCGGCUCCAAACUGAGUACAAAACGCAAAUUGUAUAGAAUCGUACAUGCAAGAACAGUGGACUAUUUUCAACUUUAAAUAUCAGCCACACAAUUCUUAUCAUCUGAAACCAUUUAAAACACGUGCAAGUAUUUGUGCAUUCUAUAUAUUCUACAUUUCUUGAGAAGUUUCAGUAGCUUGAGUUUGAAGAAGAGAUGCCUAUAGUUGUGAGAAUUCUGUCGUUGGGAUGGGCUAUCAUGAUGAUUAUGAGUAUUGCAAAUGUAGCAGAUGGAGCAAUUCCUAAUGAUUUGCUGGAAAAGAUUUCUAUAAUAAACAAAGAUGGUCCUUACUUGGGUAUUGUAGUGCCCAACAGUUUUGAGAUGAACCCUCUUCUCCAAUCUUCAAGUUUUGUUCCUCAUCCCAUGCUUUCCUACUUGGAUUUUGCAGGUUAGACAACUAUUCACUUGAAAUUUAAUUUAUUGCUUACUUUGAUUUUGUGUAAGAUGAACUAUUCGGUACCGAACGCUAUAAAAAAAUGUUAUAAUCUUGUCAGAAUGUUACAUAUAAAAAGUGUCCUUUUACAUAUUUUUUCAGAAUGAUAUAUGCUGUAGUAUUUCGUUUUACCUAUAUUGAACAUGAAUAUGGCUAGCAGCCUAUUUUCAGGGGCGGAUGGGUUUACAGGAUCAAGUAGAUUUUGGAAAAGAAAAAAAAAUUUGUUUAGCUUUUUUUUUUAGAAAGUACCUUAUAUAUUUUAUUUGUGACCCCUAUUGGGUCCACCCCUGCCUAUGUUUUUAACUGCAUUUAGAGUACUGGAAAUAUGUUUGCGUAUACCUAAACAGAUUAUUGUUUAUGAAUUUCAAGUGAACGUGUAAAACUCCGAAGGGUAUAGAUCAAACUUAGCAUGGCCUUUAUAGUAAUAAAACAUUUGACUCUUUAGGCAUUCCAGUAGAUGCAUCAUUAAGAAAAAAAAUAUGAUAAAUUCCCUUUAUAGUAACUAUACACUCACUGUCAAUGAGAUAAUUGUACUACAUUUUAAUUUUAAUAAGAUAAAUCCACUUUAAUUUAAUUAAAUAUUGAAAACAAUGUUUAGAUACUGUUGUUGUCGAUCUUCUUGUAAUAUGUUUCAUUCUACCAAAUCUUCAAGGAGACAACAAGAAAUAGCAUAAUAUCCAGUUUCAAUAUUCCAAAAUCUUAGGCUUAUUUUCUUCAUCUUUUGCAUCGAAACAGGAAGAAGAUUUCGACUUGGAACUUUGGAAAGUCGAAAAGUUAUAAUUGUCAUGUCCGGACUCAGCAUGGUAUAUGUUCAUUUUUGUAAUACCCUACUUACAAGGAAAAUUCAGUGAUUUAUUUCUUUCCAUUUUUCAAAGGUACAAAAUAAUUAAUUUAAAUUAUUAUUUCGUAGCUUAAUGCAGGCUUAGUAACACAGUUGCUGCUUAGUAUAUUCGAGAUUGAAGGAGUAGUUCACUUUGGAAUAGCAGGAAAUGCAAAUCCUAACUUACAAAUAGGAGAUGUUACUAUCCCUCAUUACUGGGCUCAUUCAAGCCUUUGGAAUUGGCAGGUAUCCAUUUUCUAUAAUCUUCUUUUAUUUUCAUUUUCAAAAAUUGGUUUCCUUAUAAAAUGUAUGGAUGGUUUUUGAUGUAUUAGCAAAAGACGUUCUUCUAUAAUUAUUUAUUUACUUAAUCCACAACAAUCUCCAUAAUUUGCUUCAGAUAAGCAGCCUCUAAUAAUUAUCUCACUACGUAAAACCCAUCGAUUUAGAUGCUCCGAAAACUAUCAAAAUAAGCUGAGAAAAGCACUAUAUCAUUUUCACGUGUAGUGUAUACUCACAUAUAUUCCCAUUAAAUGACUUUGUUUAAAUCCUUGCGCAUUUUUUUGAUCAGAGGUUUGGAGAUGGGCCUGAUGAUGAACUUGCAUUUGAAUCUAAUGGAGACUAUACAAGAAAAAUCGGUUAUCUUAAUUUCUCUCAAUAUGAAAAUGGCACAAAAAAUGGGAAUUAUUCAGACAACCUUCUCAACAAUGUGUGGUAUCAACCGGAAGAGAUAUUUUCCAUUGAUGGACAACCUGAGAUUAGACAGCAUGCCUUUUGGGUUCCUGUUGACAAGCUGUACUUUUCACUUGCAGANNNNN
RNAcentral lists this long non-coding RNA (77813 nucleotides) under Olea europaea (common olive). Its description in RNAcentral is "long non-coding RNA (OEUR_LNC009942)". Lineage: Eukaryota; Viridiplantae; Streptophyta; Magnoliopsida; Lamiales; Oleaceae. The record is from RNAcentral.